RNAcentral lists this long non-coding RNA (58802 nucleotides) under Manihot esculenta (cassava). RNAcentral's name for it is "long non-coding RNA (MESC_LNC006252)". The stretch from base 9610 to 9773 matches the Rfam family "Bacterial large subunit ribosomal RNA", at positions 2308 to 2453 of the family's 2925-position model. Lineage: Eukaryota; Viridiplantae; Streptophyta; Magnoliopsida; Malpighiales; Euphorbiaceae. The record is from RNAcentral.
UUGUCAGAGUCAGCCAGAGGUGAGUAGGACUAAACUUAAUCUUUUAAAUUAAAUGUUUUAUCAUGUUUCAUGCAUCAUGAUUAUGCAAUAAGAUGAUUGCAUUAGUUUUCACGAAUAUGCCGCAUUGCAUCGAGUGUUGUUGAUGUGGGUGAAUGUCGGAUGACCCAAUUAGUCCAUGACAGGAAGACCAGGCCCCAUUCUACAGGCCUGGCACAGAGUAAGGAAAGACUAGGAUUCCAUUCUAUGGUCUAGCACGGUUAUGGGACUCGAAGACCAGGAGCCCAGAGGAGGCCCUGGGGAAAUGGUAAGUAAUGUAUGUUCUGACAGGAAAGACCAGGACCCCAUUCUACAGGCCUGGCACAGAGUUAACUUGGACUAAUUGGUGACAAGUUCACCCAACCCUGAUGUGAAUUGUCUGUGUUAUGAUGCAUUUCAUAGAGCAUAGUGUUAAUGUGUUUUAAUAGCUCUACUCACUGGGCUUUUAGCUCACCCCUCUCCCUUUUACCCCUAGGCUUGCAGGUUCAGGGUAGAAGAGGAGGUCGGUUAGAGUAAAGAAGUCAUGUUUAUGUAAUAGCUAGCAAUGGACAUGAUCGAAUUGUAAUGUAAUGUCUUAAUCAGUAUAGUUAUGUAAUGAGAUGAUAUAUAUGGAUAAUAGAGGUGUGCUUGACCAUAGAUUGUUGAUAUCCCUUUUAAUACAUGAUCUUAGAGAUUUUUUUAUGAUGUUUAUGCAAACCAACUCAACAUAUGUUAUGUCACCCAUUUGGGGGCAUUGAUGAGAUCCCACAGAGGGAUCAACGUUUAUGAUUUAUAUUAUGUACAGUGCAUGCACAGGUUGAGUUUGGUUGAUGUAUAUGGAAAGAAAGUUUUUAAUUUUUAUGUAUGUUGUUGAUCAUGUAUGGGAUUAUACAGGUUUACAGGUUUCAUGUCAGGCUUGCUACGGGUCCCGGCGGCCUUAAGCCGAUCUGGAUCCUAGCGCCGGUAGCGGUCCGAUUUUCGGGUCGUUACAUUCGGCCGCCGAAUAUGCAUGCGUUGCGGGUGUGCUUUAGGCCCCCGAAAGCAUAAGUGAGGGAAGUCCAGGUUCGGUCGCCGAACCUCAAGUUCGGCCGCCGAACAUGGCAUGCAUGCGGAGGCACAUUCGGCCCCCAAACGUGGUCUGGCCAGCCACUAUAAAAGGGUCCCUUAGCCGAAAACGGGCGAGCUUUUUCCCCAUUUUCGGCCAAGGUGAGCUCUCCGCCGUCCCUCACCUAUCUUUGAUGUUUUCCUCUAGAUCUUUCAAGAUUUUUCAUUUGUUUUAACUUUGUUUUGAAGAUUUGAGCUNNNNNNNNNNNNNNNNNNNNNNNNNNNNNNNNNNNNNNNNNNNNNNNNNNNNNNNNNNNNNNNNNNNNNNNNNNNNNNNNNNNNNNNNNNNNNNNNNNNNNNNNNNNNNNNNNNNNNNNNNNNNNNNNNNNNNNNNNNNNNNNNNNNNNNNNNNNNNNNNNNNNNNNNNNNNNNNNNNNNNNNNNNNNNNNNNNNNNNNNNNNNNNNNNNNNNNNNNNNNNNNNNNNNNNNNNNNNNNNNNNNNNNNNNNNNNNNNNNNNNNNNNNNNNNNNNNNNNNNNNNNNNNNNNNNNNNNNNNNNNNNNNNNNNNNNNNNNNNNNNNNNNNNNNNNNNNNNNNNNNNNNNNNNNNNGAAAGUGCCGCCGAACAUGCAUGAGUUUCGUCUUUGUCUGGGAGUUUCGGCCGCCGAACCUGCGUGACUUUCGGCUCUGGAGGGACUUUCGGCUGCCGAACCUGCCGCCGAAAGUGCCCUGUCCAGGCCUCCUUUGCAUGUUUUUCUAUGGUUGUUCCAUGAUGUUUUAGGGGGUUUUUGGGGAGUAGUUUAUAGUUAUGUUCAGGUAUGUUUGGUCCCUCAUUUGAGUCCACCUGUGUAGGUUCAGACCCGAGGAACUGAUGACCCCAGCAGUGAGUUCAGCUGCUUCGGUGUUAGCAGAGUCAGCAAGAGGUGAGUGGAACUAAACUUAAUCUUUUAAAUUAAGAAAUUAAAUAUUUUAUCACGUUUCAUGUAUCAUGAUUAUGCAAUAGGAUGAUUGCAUUAGUUUUCACGAAUAUGCCGCAUUGCAUCGAUUGUUGUUGAUGUGGGUGAAUGUUGGAUGACCCAAUUAGUCCAUGACAGGAAGACCAGGACCCCAUUCUACGGCCUGGCACAGAGUAAGGAAAGACUAGGACCCCAUUCUACGGCCUGGCACGGUUAUGGGACUCGAAGACCAGGAGCCCAGAGGAGGUCCUGGGAUAAUGGUAAGUAAUGUAUGUAUGACAGGAAGACCAGGACCCCAUGCUACGGCCUGGCACAGAGUUAGCUUGGACUAAUUGGUGACAAGUUCACCCAACCUUUAUGUGAAUUGUCUGUGUUAUGAUGCAUUUCAUAGAGCAUAGUGUUAAUAUGUUUCAUAGUUCUACUCACUGGGCUUUUAGCUCACCCCUCUCCCUUUUACCCCCAAGCUUGCAGGUAUAGGAUAGAAGAGGAGGUCGGUUAGAGUAAAACUUGUUUAUGUAAUAGAUAGAAUGUGGACAUGACAAAUCGUAGAAUGAUGUAAUGUAAAAGUACAGUAUAGUUAUGUAAUGAUGUUUAUGGAUAUUAGAGGUGUGCUUGACCAUAGAAUGUUGUUAUCCCUUUUAAUACAUGAUCUUGGAUAUUUUAUGUCGUUUAUGCAAACCAACUCAGCACAGGUUAUGUCACCCAUUGGGGGCACUGAUGAGAUCCCACAGAGGGAUCAAUGUUAUGUUAACGUAUAUGCUCAGGUUGAGUUUGGUUGAUGUGUAUGGAAAGAAAAGUUUUAAUUUUUAUACAUGUUGUUGAUCAUGUAUGGGAUUAUACAGGUUUACAGGUUUCAUGUCAGGCUUGCUACGGGUCCCGGCGGCCUUAAGCCGAUCUGGAUCCUAGCGCCGGUAGCGGUCCGAUUUUCGGGUCAUUAUACUCUCAGAGUUUUCCACAACAAAACCGUAACCAUAAAAUCUUGAGCUUGAAACAAAGGCCCAUCACUUGACAAAGCAAACUAAAAUUGUUCAACCUUGAAGAUGACGCACGAAUUUGGAGAUGAAUGGCUUCAUGAUCACGAGCAGGGUUGGAGGAAUAAAAUAAAUUCCUGCCCUGAUAUAAAGUAUCAGUGGUAUUUUCAUAUAAAGUACCAGCACGUUGAGCAGCUUCCCAAUUCAAGAUAUGAUGCAUGACGUCUUCCACAAGGUGAGCUGCUGAAUUUUGCAUCUGGUUCUAUAAUAAUAAAUCCCUUGCUGAUCAUAAUCUCCAUGCACAUACCAUUACAAAGUUUUUUCGAACCUUGUUUUGGGAUUUCAAAAUCUUUAGUAAAAAAUUAUAAAAAUUAUCAUUAGGCUGUAAAUCUCCCACUCCCCCUAACCUCCAAACUUUAUUGGACAUAGGACAAUACAACAAAAUAUGAUUGACACUUUCAUAUUUAUGGCACCAAAAACAUCUAGCAUCCAUAUUCACACCCUUUUGCCUUAAGUUAUUUUUUGUAGGCAAUAUAUUCCUACAAGCUCUCCAACAGAAAUCCUUCACUUUUGAAGGGACCGAAACAUUCCACAAAUUAGUCCCUAACUCACCCCCACAUUAAAAGAUGAUCUUCCUAGCAAGUCCAUACAAACAAAGUAUGCGGAUUUCACCGUAUACACACUUCUUUUAUUAAAGUGCCACAAGGAGAAAUCUUUAUUAUUGGUAAUACUAAUAGAAAUACUAAUAAUAGCUCUAAUAUCUCUUGGAGAAAAAAAAUUCAUUAAAAGAGCAAUGUUCCAAUCCUUCCCAUUAUCUUCAAAAAGAUCACAAACACGUAAAUGUGGUUCAAUAAAAUCGGGGUCAUCAUUCGCAAAAAAGGUAUCCUUCUUAGAAAUCCAGGGAGCUAAAGCCGCUAAAAUCUUCUCUCCAUUACCCACCCUCCACCUUGUACUCCUUCGAAUUAACUCUCUUUAUGUCAUCACACUUUUCCAAACAAAGUUAGCAUCAUUACUUACAUUGGCGGAAAAUAAAUAACCAUUUGAAAAGUAUUUUGCUUUAAACACUCUAUAACAAAGAGUAUUAGGAUUUGUUAAGAACAUUCACAGUUGUUUAUUAAGAAAAGACAAAUUAAAACUCUUAAAGUCCCGAAACCCCAUGUCCCCCUCUUUCUUUUUACUACACAUCUUCUCCCAUGCUAGCCAAUUAAUACCCCUCCGCCCUUCUCUUUUACCCACCAAAAACCAUUAACCAAUUUAUGCAAUUUAUUAAAAAUAAUAAUGAGAAUUAAAAAAAAUAUUCAUACAAUAUGCAAGUAUAGCAUAUAACACAGAUUUUAUGAGAAUUUCCUUACUUGCUCUCGAUAAAAAUCUGCUGCUCCAUGAAUUAAUCUCCUUUUUAAAUAGGUAAUAAGAUAAUUAUUUAUAUUAAUUAAAAUAAAUUAUUUAUAUUAAUCGAAAAAGGUAAAAAAAAUUUUAAAUAUGCAAAAAUUAACUUAAAUAAUUAACAUUCAAAUAUUCUUAAAUAGGUACCAAAGGUAAUUAUUUAUUUUAAAUCAUUAUUUAUAUCAACUCGAAACGGUAAAAAAAUGCUUAAAAUGAGCUAAAUUAACUUAAAUAAUAAUUAACUAAAAUUGGAUUUUUUUUUAAUUUAGAAAAAAUUACCGUCAACUGUUUGAAAAACAUCGUCGAUUUGAUUCUAAAAUAAUUAACUAAAACAAUGAAAAAAAAUUCCAUCCAAUGACAUUAUUAUACAAAAUUUUAAGGUUGCAAUUUUUUGCUUUUCCAAAUUAAAAAAUUUUUUUCCCAAACUCUCAUCCGAAAAAAUCGGUAAGAUAGAUUAAUUAAAAAAAAAAAAAUAUAUUAUCGCGCUUUAAAAGUGGUGGAAUUUAAAUUAUAAAUUUAAUUUUUAUUUAAUUAAUUAUUAUAUUUUAUUAAUUUAAUUUAUUUAAUUAUAUAUUAAAUUUAUAAAAUAUAAUUAUAAAAAUUAUAUUAAUAUUAAUAUUAAUUAAUUUAAAUUAUUUAUGAUUUAAUAUUAUAUUUAUUAAUUUAUAUAAUUUAAUUAAUUAUAUACUAAAUUUAUAUAAAUAUAGUUAUAAAAAUUAUAUUAAUAUUAUUAUAAAUAUUAAUUAUUUUAAUUUAUUUACAAUAAAAUAUUAUAUCUUUCAUAUUUAUCAUUCUAUUUUAUUAUUUUUAUUACAAUUAAUUUAUAAAUAUUUAUAAAUUAUAAAAACUAUAAAAAAAUUAAAAUUUAUUUUAUUUCAUAUUUUUUUCAUAAUUUUUCUCUAUUCUCCUAUUUCUCUCAAAAUACUCUAUAAAUAUUAAUUUUUAAUAUUCCUAUAAUAUUGAUAUCUGAAAGUGAAAUAUAAUUGAUGACCGCUGAUCAUAUAAAAUUCAAUAUUCUUAAAAAAAAAAAAUACUCUAUAUAGCAUGAGAGCACAUUUGAUCAUUCUUAGUAUUAUUUUUUAUAUUUUAUCAUUUGUAUAUUUUUUAAUUUAUUUUCCUAAGUAUUUACAUAUAUUUUUAUAUUUAUUUUUUUAAUAUUUUUUACAUUGAUAAAUAUAAUUAAUAACAUAAAUUGUAUUUAUUCUUAGCAUUAAUUAAAUUAUAUAAAUUAAUAAAAUAAAGUGGUAAAUAUAAUAAAUAUAAUAUUAUAUUAUAAAUAAUUUAAAUUAAUUAAUAUUAAUAUAAUUUUAAUAAUUAUAUUUUAUAAAUUUAAUAUAUAAUUAAUUAAAUUAAUAAAAUAUAAUAUAAUAAUUAAUUAAAUAAAAAUUAAAUUUAUAUUUUUAAUUGAUUGAGUGUGGUCUGCCACGCUCAUAUAAUACCGCAUUUUUAAAAUAUGAUAAUAUAUUUAAAUAUUUUUUAAUUAUUUAUUUUAUUGCAUUUUAAAACUGCGAUAGAGUCUUAAAAAAAGAUAAAAAUCUCUCAAUGUGAUGGUAUGCUAUGAAUUUAUUAUUUAAUAAAAUCCAAAUUAAUUUAAUAUAAAAUUCAAAAUAAUUUUAUACUUUUUUUUAAUAACCAAACUAACUUUAUCAUGACAAGUUUAAACAACGUAGACCAAUGUCUGUAGAUCCCCUGGAAACUUCUGUUACUCAAUUAACAGUGAAAGCUUAUAAGCUUCCUCGAAGGUGGCUUGGAAGCAUCACAGAAAUAUAAGAAGAAGACUUCCGAGUCUACUCCGUGUGAAGACAUGCUCGCUCUAGAUGAAAAUUUCCUUCGCCGUCCCUUUCAUUUUCCAUCCUAUAUAUCAUCUGAAGGAAUCUUAGAAGCGUUCAUGGCGGAAUUCGAUAUUGGGCCUUCUGCACGUCCGCUCUUGGACCAUGAAAACACCACCAUCUACCUAGAUGUAGACGAGGAAGAUAAUGGAAGUACCGACGUUGAUGACUCACCUCUUCUUUUGGAAACUGAGAUUUCUGUUUACGUUGAUGCUCAAGAAGAUGUGCAAAACGGUGUGGAUCCUUUGAAUCAUCAAAGGGUAAUUUUAUUUAUUUAUUUAUUGUACUGCAAAAUUCUUAGUACCCUUUUCAAGUUGCUUGCAGCUUAUUGUUGUUGUUUCUGAACAGGAUAUGGUCGUGGAAAGGAUUUUCCUCAUAGCAAAUUUCGUGGUGGAGCUUCCAUCAGCUGUUUUUGAUCAACUAUCAUCAGUGCACAAGCCACAGUUUGCAUUGAUUAGUAUGGUGAUGUCCUUGGUAGCUAUGCUAUUAUCGAUCAUCGAUCUUGCUGAUAAGGGUCGAAGAGAAAGAGUUGAAUGGAUGGUGAGAGAUCAUUUACCUUGGUUUUACUCCCCACAGAUAAAUUACAAGCCUUUGGGGACAUUUUCAGACAUUGUUGGACUGGUCUGCAGCAUCUUCCAAUGGGUUUUUGCAACGAUAGCUUAUGUCUUUCUAUCUCAUCACUCUGACAACCCUAACAAAUUCUCCGUUUGGCCUAUAAUCUUUGCCUUUGGUGCAUUGUGUUCCAGAUUUCCUAGGAACCCACGAACAGUAGACGCAGUCCAUGAGAGCACAGAAACUCAUCGAAGCAGACCUGGGUCACCUUCCCCAUCCCCAUUAAAAGAUCUACGUGAUCUCCAGCUUCUGGAGCUCGUACAUUUACCUAUACCUUCUCGUGUUGAAUGUUUUCAUCUUCGGGAAUAUAUCUGUUCUGACGAGGUCACUACAAGAAGGAAGAAAGUGGGGAGAAAUGGAAGAAAGAAUAGACGGAGAAGAAGAAGUAGAGUAGAGAGAGAGAUCAUAGAGAUGACUGAAUGCGAACAUAUUAGACCCUUUACCCAAGUUUUAUUACCAAGUAGAUAAUUCUAAUGGCAAACAGUUUUACUGUACAAUUUUUUUUAGUUGGUUGAGUUUACCAAGUAGAUAAUUCUAAUGAUGCAACCUUGUAAAUCAAUGUCAUGUCAUCAUCGACAAGGACUUCAAGCUAUUACAUUAGCUGUGAGAUUGCGGUAAUGACUGGUAAACUGGAACAUGUCCAACUCUUUCGACCAUUUUGUGGAUUAUGAAAAGUCAAGGGUCACCUUUUCCCAUCUGAUAUUUGUUAUAGAUUACAAGUUAAUUUUGUUUAUUUUUAAUUUGAGGGAUAUAUAUAUUUUUUCAAAUGAAAAAUAAAAAUAUUUAACUUGUGAUUUGACGGUUCACAAAUUAUUGAAGACUUGCUAGUUUUACAUCUACGGCACUUGUUUGUUUUUAGUCUACGCCUGUAAUUAACUCCGAGAAGAAUUGAAGGACGGACAAUGGUAGGGGCAGCUGCUGAAGCAAACUAAAUCCUUCGACGAUAUGACUGAAUUGGAAACUGGGUAUUCUAUAGAUAUCCAAAACGUCAACAUCGAUGGCGAUUUUGAGUCGCACAACACAGCAGAUGGCUUGAAUCAAAGGGUAAAACAUCUACUCUGGUUUCUAUCUUGUUUUAGCUGUUUCAAAUGUUGAGCUUCCUUCCCCAAGUUAGUUUCUUUUCGCUUUCCCAUAAGUGGGGAUUGCUUCUUCUUCUCCUUUGUGAACUUGUCCAUUUGAGUGAAAUGAAAAAUUUUAUGUUGAAUAGAAAGUUUGUUGUGGACAAGGAUUUAGCUUCAACCAUCUUGAAAUAGGUCGCCGGAGAUGGCUUGAAUGUAUCAGAGGCUGCCCUCAGCAUAGAUGAUCAAGAAGGGGACGAAAGCAAGAAGGAUAGCUCGAACCAAAGGGUAUUGGUUUAUUUAUUUAAAAGCUGUCAUCAAAGAAACUUUUCUGCAUAUUUCUAGCAACUUACAAAUGCUCUUUCUUUGCAAAAUCAGUAUGUGAACGUGGAACGAAUUUUCCUUAUCACAAAUUUUGUUAUGGAGCUUCCAUCAGCUAUCUUCGAUCAGCUAUCCUCAGUUCAAAAACCCCAGUAUGCAUUAAUCAGUAUGAUCAUAUCUUUCACAGUAAUGUUCAUCUGCAUCAUUGAUCUUGCUCGAACCGGUCGACGAGAAAGAGUUAAACUGAUGAUGAGAGGCCAUAUACCUUGGUUUUACUCUCCAUCUCCAAGUCACAAGCCUCUGGGGACAUUUGUUGAUAUUGUUGGAUUAGUUUGUGGAAUCUUCCAAUGUGUUUUUGCAGCAAUUGCUUAUGCCUUUCUGUGUCAUAAGGCUCAAAGUCCUAUCAAAAUCUGUGUUUGGCCUUUAAUCUUUGCAUCUGGUGUAUUAUGGUCUAGAUUUCCCAGGAAUGCAUAUGUCCUUGAACCCUCAGAAGUUAAUGCAGACAAUCAUGCUCAUCCUCAACAUGCCCUGAAAUUCCAUUACUUCAAAUGGAUCAGAAAAUUUUCAAAGAGAUUCUUUAGAGGGGUCAAAGUAAAGGUAAUGUAUUUUCUUUUUUUUUUUUUUUAAUCAAAUCUCAGUUUAUAAUGUGUGUUGUUAUACAGAAUGAUGAUGAAAAGGAUGCCGACGUGAACGCCAAGGUCAUCACUGUUUAUAAAGUGGACAUGCAUUGCGAGGAUUGUAGCAGAAAAAUUAGACGCACUAUUGAACUUUUUGAAGGUGAUGCUCCAUACAUUCUUACAUUCCUGUCUUAUUUGAAAUGAAAUUAUUGAAUAAUUAAUAAAUUCAUAUUUAAACACAAAAUAAACAUGUCUUGUCGUAAAAAUUUAAGAAUGAUCCAACUUAUUUAUGGUUGUGCUAUAAAUUUUACUGGUGUUGGUUAUUGAAGGUGUGGAAGCCGUAGAGACAGAUUCUGAAGGCAACACACUAACGGUCACCGGGAAAGUAGACCCGAUGAAAAUCAAGGCGAAGCUGGAGAAGAAAACCAAGAGGAAAGUCGAUAUUUUGUCAUAAAAAUCUGAAAUCCAAGCACGGGAGUUCUCUGCAAUCAAGCAUCUGUAACAAUGCACAUGUAUAUAUUAAAUAAAAACUACGUCGCUUUUCUUGUUCAGCAUGUGGGAAGGAACAAGGUAGCACAGGAAGCCGUCCUGCUACAUAGCUAUUUCCAACCGGUUUGCUAGAAAUAUUCAAAAUUUGCAAGCUAUUGUUUAACCGAGAGACCCUUAAAUUGUUAGGGUUUCUACUAUUUCAAACUAAGGAAAGUCGCUGUACAACCUUUCUUUUUUUAGAUAUAUUAUGCAAGGAAUUUUCAUUCAUGAAUGCUUACAUUCUGAAAACCACAAAGCUGCAUUUAAUUUCAGAGGCGUGCAAAGGUUUUCUCGAGCCAUAUAGAGAUUGGCCUUUGAGAGAGAUUGGCCUUUGAGUGCAAAGACAGAAGGGAGCUUGACUGCAAGACACGCCUGUUGAGCAGGAUCUAUGGUCUGCCUUAGUGAUCGGACAGUGCAGAGUGAAAGGGGUCGUUGCUCAACGGAUAGAAGUCACUGAAUAUCGUUGUAUGUUAUAUACAGAUCUCCUGGCAAGUGGAAAGUGACAGCAAGCUAAAAUCAAGAAAGCUCAGGAUUGAUGCCAACACUCUUCUUGCAGUAUAUAUGCCAACAUGAAUUUGGUAUACCCUUUUAAGCCUAAUCAACUAUAGAUUAUCCUUCGUUCUGUUGACGAAUUCCAAAGAGGAUCUAAUUUGAACAAUUCAUCUCUUGCUUAAGAACCCUUACAGCUUCCAUAACUCCAUCCUACAAGUUUGAGUUUAACAAAACUUGGAUGUUAGCAUUGCUGCAUUAUGUGUCCAAUGUCACAAACAAUCCAAAAUUAACACUAGUUAUACAUUUGAUUCAGGAUAAGGCAUUACCUCUAGAGAGAUCAUUUCAGCAAUUUUUUGAGCACGUAUCUUAACUUCAGGAGAUAAUGCAUCAGCUAUGGCUCUUGACAGCACAUUUGCAGCUACCCUGAUUCUGAAGUCAUCCAUUUUAUCUGGAACUAAAUGGUUUCGUUUCAAUGGUUCUGGAGCAACCCCAAGCCAGUGCAUCCUUUCGGCCCAAUAAAAUUGAUCCAACAUAAAUGGACAUAUCACCUGCCAUCGGAACAUGCUGAUUAGUGAUUGGUUAUUUUGAGACAGCGAUAUAUAGAGAGAUGAACAACAUUCGGAAAUCAAAUAUAAUACAAAUCUUUCCAUAAGAUUUCUAAGCAAGUUUGAGUAAGUUAACUAACUUGUAAAACUGCAUUUAUUUAACACACCAUGCCAAGCAACACAAUAAAAAUUUUGAAGAAGAAAACUAUUAACAGGUUAGAUAAGAAGAUAAAUUAACAAGGUAUUAGUUUUGCAAUAAACCUGUGGGAUUCCAGCAUGUAGUGCUGCAGCAGUCGAUCCACUUGUUUGUUGACGACAAGUAAUGCAGAAGGAGAUUAGCCACAUUGCAUGCUUUACAUUUAAUUAAUCUCCCAAUAAAGAAAAUAUAUUACCUGCCCCCAUGAUGCACUGCAGCCAGACAUUUUCUAAAUAGCCAAUUGUAUGGUACUGUACUGUUUUGCACAGGAAAAUAUGUCAAGACAGAAAAAAAAAAAAAGAUAAUUACCACACAUGCAACUACGGAAAAAGGGAUCUUAUUAGAUAAUUCACUUCUAUGAAGUCCAUAUGCAAUGUUCUCCGACAAUAUUGUUUCUAUGCUUAUAUAGGUUGAAUCAUAAGCAAUAACGCACACUCAACUUUUGAUAUGGAAAUAUAUUUUAUGAAGCAAGGACAUUUUCAAAAUCAAGGGAGAAACCUAUCAUCAGAAAUUUCAUGCAAAAAGUGGUAUUUUCAUACACUAAUCGAAUAGAGUUCCCUAGGAAUUUCCAUUAAUCAUUCUUAGUUGUUGCUGCUGCAUCCAAGUUGGUCUUUCCAAGUACAUUAGAAGUUUUUUUGAGUCUUUUAUGUUUUGGUUAACGUGUUCUGUUGGUUGGCUUUUUCUGUUUUUCAGUAUGUGUGGCAUCUGUCUUUGGGUUCUCCAGGUUUCGUUCUUUAGCAUGAUAAUGUCUAGAAUGGCUGCAAAGGUGCAGUUUUGGGGUUUUUUCUACAAUUAUCGUGCUAAUUGUUCCCUCCAAGUUUUAAUAAAAUUUCUCUUUAUCAAAAAAUGAAUAUUUCUUAUUUUGAUAGGAAAUAUGAUAUUGCAAACCAUCAUAUUGUUUUAAGAAUUUGAUAAUUUAAUUAUAUAUGCCAGCCUACAGAGUCCUCUCUCACCUGAGGCAUGUUUCAGAUCUUUGUUUUUCACUGUUUACAUAAGCAUAGUGUCUCCUUGAGGAUCUGACCAUACAUACAUAUUCAUCUUUCUAUCCUUUAAAAUUUAUGAAAAGAAUUCUGAAAUUGCAUUGCACAAAAGAAUAAGUGAGAAAACAAAAUCUCAUAUCCCAAGGAUGCAAAGACAUCAUGUGGUUAUCUAUUUUCUUCCCAUAAACUAUGAAUCUUCUUCUAUAAUCAUUUAAAGGAAUCAGAAAAUGCUCACCUAGGAAAGCAGAAGAGACGGCCAUCAAAGAGACAGACCCCCUCUUCAUUGUACUGCCUUUGAUCAAAAUGCAAAGUUUUGGUCGCAACAACUUGAAUUGCUUCAUCCAAAGGCUCAUAACCUGAAGAAAAAAGGACAAACCUGAAAUCUGUGAUCUCCAGGACAAUUUGAAUAACCUUAAGGAAUGCUUCAGGGUGCUCCAAAAAACCCAAGCUGCAGAAGGCAAAGACAAACAUGGAUCAAGAAAAAAAUAAGGUACGAAUUUACAAGAAUUCAAGCUCAAGUGUACAAAUAGUUAGGCUAGGCCAAGAGUGGAUUGCAUUACGUCAAUCUACUCCUAUCUUACUAUUUUUACUUUCCCCCUUUUAACCUAUACUGGUUAACAAUUUUUGAGAAAGACACCAAGAAAGCAAGGAACCUGCCUUCCAGCAGAACUUAGUCCUAUAAAAACAGGAGGCACCAUUGUCCCCAAAAAACAUUGUAACUUUACAUGAGCUGCACACACUUUUUCUUUUGUUCUGGUACUCCCAGGAGAAAGAAAUGCUGAAAUUUGUCCACAUUCGUUACAUGCAAACUGCCAUUCAAUAGGGAGGAACCAAAAUCCACAAACAUGAACAUGUGAUGGCCAAUAAUCUGUAAAUAUAAAAUGGAAGCAGAGAACUUCAUUAAAGAAUCGUUAAUGAUCUGAUUUGCAUAUAAUAAAAACAUUCAGGGUGCUAAAAAGUGUAAAGGGAGAACCCCUGAUACAUGGACUGAACUUAAGUGAGAUCUUCAAUAGACCAAAUAGAAACACAGAAAAGAAACGGGAAACAUUUUCUCUGCCUUGUCUCAAAGUACUUUGUGUCACUGCCAGACUCUAGACUAUUGCUUCUCACCAGGAGACACCACAAACCCCCAACCUCUAGGUUGCAGGCAGAUUUCCUAGACAUCAUGAUAAUUAACCCUCCCCUCCCUCUUCUGCUUUUUUAUUUUCCUUUAUUGAGAAUAUACAAGGCAUAUUAGCAGAGAACAGUUGGUAACAAUAUUGUAUAGUGUUAUAGAUUAUAGAAAGUAAAUAUAUUAAUAUAGGAAGUAAAUAUUGAUAAAUGGGUUAGUUGCUUAAUUUUAGGGACUGUAUAAUUAUAGACUUGAUUUUCUUUCCUGUUUAGAUACCGUCUUUUAUAUAUAAAUAGGUUGUAAUCUUUAUUAUGAAAUACAACAUCAAAUAUUAUAUUUUUACAUGGUAUCAGAGUCAGGUUUGUAGAGAUUUAUUUUCUCUCUCGUCAAGUUUUAAAUUUUUGGAGACUCAGGACUCCUGUUCUUUUGUGUUAUCCAUCUAGGAUAAUAUUUGUCUCUCACCGUUCACCUAGUAUGCCAAAGUCGACUUGCAGCUCCCUUGUCAGAUUUGUGGUUCGUUUACCGUUUGGGUGUUGGGUGAAGGCGUCUUUUUGAUACUAUUCAUUUGGGUUACCCAUAAAGAGUAACUUUUGGAGUAACUUUUGGAGACUUAGGGCUCUGUUUAUUUGGGUUACCAUAAAAGAAUAACAUUUGGAGACUUAGGGCUCUGUUCAUUUGGUUACUCAUAAAGGGUAACAUUUAGAGACUUAGGGCUCUGUUCAUUUGGGUUACUCAUAAAAGAUAACAUUUGGAGACGUAGCGCUCUGUUUAUUUGGGUUACUUAUAAAGAGUAACAUUUGGAUCUGUUCAUUUGGGUUACUCAUAAAGAGUAACAUCUGAAGACUUAGGGUUCUGUUCAUUUGGGUUAUUCACAAAGGGUAACAUUUAGAGACUUAGGGCUGUGUUUAUUUUGGGUUACUCAUAAAGGGUAACAUUUGGAGACUUAGGACUCUAUUCAUUUGGGUUAAUCAUAAAGGGUAACAUUUGGAGACUUAGGUUUAUGUUCAUUUGGGUUAUCCAUAAAGGAUAACACUUGGAGACUUAGGGCUCUGUUCAUCAGAUAUUGUUCACGGUAAUUAUUCAUCAAGUAUUGUUCACGGGAAUUAUUCAUCAAGUAUUGUUCACGGGAAUUAUUCAUCGGGUACUGUUCACGAGUACUGUUUUUCGGGGGUACUGUUCACGAGUACUGUUCAUCGGGUACUGUUCACGAGUACUGUUUCUCGGGUACUGUUCAUGAGUACUGUUCCUCGGGUACUGUUCACGAGUCAUGAAUACUGUUCUCGGAUUCGAAAUUCUAUUCACAGUAAGGCGUUUUACCAAGCUGAGAAAAUGUGGUCUCCCGUUCUAGUGCUGAAUCUAAAUGUCGAGUCAUGGCAAAAACCGUUUGUGAAGUUUUGUGGGUACGUCAAUUAUUGGAAGAAGUUGGGUUUACAAAUUCGGUGUCUGUUAAGUUGUAUGGGACGAGUUGAUUAUAUAUGUAACAAGUUGGACAUGAUUAACAUUUAUGCUCCAACUUGAGGGGGAGUGUUAUAGAUUAUAGAAAGUAAAUAUAUUAAUAUAGGAAGUAAAUAUUGAUAAAUGGGUUAGUUGCUUAAUUUUAGGGACUGUAUAAUUAUAGACUUGAUUUUCUUUCCUGUUUAGAUACCGUCUUUUAUAUAUAAAUAGGUUGUAAUCUUUAUUAUAAAAUACAAUAUCAAAUNNNNNNNNNNNNNNNNNNNNNNNNNNNNNNNNNNNNNNNNNNNNNNNNNNNNNNNNNNNNNNNNNNNNNNNNNNNNNNNNNNNNNNNNNNNNNNNNNNNNNNNNNNNNNNNNNNNNNNNNNNNNNNNNNNNNNNNNNNNNNNNNNNNNNNNNNNNNNNNNNNNNNNNNNNNNNNNNNNNNNNNNNNNNNNNNNNNNNNNNNNNNNNNNNNNNNNNNNNNNNNNNNNNNNNNNNNNNNNNNNNNNNNNNNNNNNNNNNNNNNNNNNNNNNNNNNNNNNNNNNNNNNNNNNNNNNNNNNNNNNNNNNNNNNNNNNNNNNNNNNNNNNNNNNNNNNNNNNNNNNNNNNNNNNNNNNNNNNNNNNNNNNNNNNNNNNNNNNNNNNNNNNNNNNNNNNNNNNNNNNNNNNNNNNNNNNNNNNNNNNNNNNNNNNNNNNNNNNNNNNNNNNNNNNNGGAGUGUUAUAGAUUAUAGAAAGUAAAUAUAUUAAUAUAGGAAGUAAAUAUUGAUAAAUGGGUUAGUUGCUUAAUUUUAGGGACUGUAUAAUUAUAGACUUGAUUUUCUUUUCUGUUUAGAUACCGUCUUUUAUAUAUAAAUAGGUUGUAAUCUUUAUUAUGAAAUACAACAUCAAAUAUUAUAUUUUUACAUAUAGAUUGGAACAGCAUGUAUAGUGUUCAGAAUUAAUAUGAUGAAGCAAAUCAAGGUUUGUGUGAAAAGAUCAAACCCUAAUAAACUCAAUCUUUUCACAGAAUUUAAAAGGACUAGCAAAAAAUACAAAGCAAACAAUUGAAAGAUGAUAACUUCGAUGAUCUCUACAGAAAACUGUAAGAAAACUGUUAUUAAUGCAUAAUCCUUGGUAAUUUUGCAUGCACCAAGGUUAGCAUGAUCAGAAAUCAUACUUUUAACUCUUGCCGGCCUUCAGCCUUUUGAGAUUUGACUAAAAUGAAGGAAGAAGAAUGAAGGAAAGAUAUACAAAUACAUCUCACAGCUUGAAGCACAACAAAGAAGUGAGCAAGGUAGGAGGAAAAACAGAGUCACCUGGGCAUUCAACAAUUUCAUUGCUAAAUCCAUACCUGUUACACAAUAGUCGAUCAGAAUUGCGUAUCAGCAAAAGUAGUCCAUGAUUAGAAAUACAUACCAACUUUUAAAGUUCUCAGUUUGCAAUUUUAGUGAGAGAAGCAGCAGCAGCAGCAGCAUGUAGAGAGAGAAAGAAUAGCAUGUUUCUGAAGAGAGUGCAUCAAAUGUUGAUGCCAUUUGCAACAAAAUUAUUGAUAGUCUCAUCAUUAAAAGGGUGCUCAUUCAAUAUAUAUUGUUGAGUUCGUAUCACUUCUUUAUUACUGUAUUUCAGGAACUAAGCCCUCAGGUGUCUUAUACUCAUGAUUAGUGAACACCAGGGUCAACUUGAUGUAUUCCCUUUCCUUCAAGCGGAAUUUGAGGCCCAUGAACAGAUUCCUUUAUCUUUUUUGCUCAUAAAAUAUUAAAUUUGUGCCAUUGCAUGAGUUGAGAAUCCCACAUUGGAAAUCUAUAAUAUAAAUGGUUGGGUUGGAACAUUUCAUUGGCUAAUCAUUUUGAUGUGUAAAGUGACUCAAAGUGUAGGGCCAUAUUAAACACUGUAAUUUACUUAGCCCUCUCUCUAAAUUUAACAGUAUGCUCCGAAGAUGUGACUUACAAGAGAAGGGGAGAUGGUGGCCAAUCAUGCCAUGAGGGAAGGCCUGUUACAGGAUCCUGCAUUCAUGGAAUAAAAUAUUUGAUGAGUUUAUAGAUGUAUUCUAGUAUAACACAACAAGGAUAUAUCAGAACAUUGAUAGAGUAGGAAACAGUGCUCGUCAUAUAAUUGAAUCAAAGAAACAAGGAAUUCCAUCUUCAAAAGCACCAACUGUAAAAGGAAUAGGACUCAGAUUCAGAUCAUCACUUCUCCAUGAUCCCCAGCUUUCAGUAAAAAGCGGCCACAUCCAAUGAAUCACGUCUUUCCAGCAAACCUAUCUUCAUGAAGAAGUCAGAAGUUUAAUAGUCAAGGUGCAUAUCAAAAAUCAUUCUGAAUAUAACAGGAGGUGUAAUAGAAAUAGAAAUAUUUUUUCCUAUCUAGAAAUGCUACACUACCAGUCAAUUUUUAAAGGAGAAAGAAAAGAUUCUACCAAGGGAAGUCAAAAAAACCUUGUUAGUUGGAGCUUCUUGGAGAUAUUCAUAGAGAAGGGGAAGCUCUUUUCUGAACCGACACUCAAAUGAUGAAGGUGCACUGCAGAGCACAUGAAGAAAAAAUUUUGCGAGUAAAAUAUUGUUUCAAAAAAAAUGAAUGCUGACAAUCAAAUAUAUAUAAAACUUUUUCUCAAUAUUUCCUGAAUAUGGCACUUUGAACUCGUACAUGUAAUUGAAAAAACAUCCAUACAUGCUACAAAUAAUUGUAUAUUCCCUUGUUUUUGCACAUGUACAUAAGAUGAAGAAAAAAUUGAAAUCUCUUGUAUAUUUAUUUAUAAUCCUAUGUUCAUAAAUACGUAAAUUUUUACAUAUACACUCAUUUAAUACAAAUGGACAUGCACAAAAAUGAAGAAUCAUGUAUGCAAAUUCCUUGAGGCAUAAUUCAGGAAUGUAAGACAAUAAUAUUGCACUACCUGUAUGGAAUAACAUAAGGAGAAGCAACUACACAGCGAACACGAAAAUGUUCUGCAAGGCUCCAUCCUUCCUGGCCCAGUAUGUAAAGAAAUUUUUUCUUUAUCAGGUGACACUUCUAUGAACGCAACCAUAGGCUAGAUUUUCAACUUACUGAAACUAUUACAUAGACCUUUUUUUUUUCAAAUUAUAUGGACUUGAAUUUUUAGUAAAAAAUACCAAUGCAAAAAAAUUGAUCACAAUAAAAUCACCCUCCAUGCUUGGGCAAUUUCCAAAAAUUCCUUCAACUACAGAAUAGCAUUCUUGUCUAUGUUCCCUUGUAAUAAUCCUUUUCUGAAGUGAGAAAGUUGAUUCCUCUGUCUCUGUAAGAAAAUGAUGCAUCAAAUACUUAAAAUUAAAUACAGAGUGGUUAAUUUUAUCCUUUAGUCAUAAAGUUCAUUUAAUUCCACAAUCAUAGACCUCAUAUAUGAUAUAUAGACCACUUCUCAUUUGAAAACAGUAAUACAAACCUGUAUGAAUAGAAAGGACAGGUGGUGAUUUAAUAGGAAGAAAAGCAACAUGUCUGUCUUCCAAAUGAGACCUUAAAUUCUGCAAAACAAACAUCAAUAAAUAACAUAAAGCCAAAAGGCACAUUGUAUCCAAAGGACACAGAAUAAGAAAGCCAAAGGGAAGAGCAUUUUCUUGUUUUUAUUUCUCCAAUAUGAUGCAAACCUCGUGUGCUGAGUGUGUUACCAGAACCACAUGAUAUUGUUUUUUAUCAUAAGCAAAAGCUGCAGCAAUGGCCUGAAAAAGAUACAGAAAGAACUAGAGAGUUCAUAUAAAACUAAAAAAGACCUAUCAAACACUAAAUUUCCUUAACAUCAAGAAAAUUCAAACGAGGAAUCAUCUAAAAAAACCUAUCAAACGCUAAAUUUGAAAGCAGAAAUCAAGUAGUGAAGGCUCUUAAUUAUAAUCAUAGCCUUGAAAACAACAAAGAAAGAAAAUUUACUUGAUGUUAAGUACUUACAGCAAUUGGAUAGACAUCGCCUUUGGUACCAAAAGCCAUGAAAAGCGCCACCGGUUUCCUCUUCUCCGUCUCCGUUUCCAUUUUCCGCACCGCUGAAGCUCGGAAGAGUUGCAGAAACCUUACUGGAUCCAAAUUGAUGUAGGCUCAAAUCGGGCCUAGAUAAAUUUUGGAAAAAGCUUGAUUUUGCUAAAUAUAAAUAAAAUUUAGAAAAAGGGAAAUAUUAUAUUCCAUAAAAUAAAUGAAUUUGCUUUUUUAUUUUUUAUGAAAUAAAAAAGAAUUACGGUAGAUGUUAUUCUUUAUUUUAAAAUAUUUUUGGGUUUCUUUUUUUUUUGAAUAAAAUAUUUUUGGGUUUCUUAUUUUUAUUUUUAAUAUAAUCAAAUGUUAAGUUAGAAAAAUGAAAAUACGUAAAAAUAAUGUGAAUUAAUUUUUUUUAAUAAUUUAUUAUAGAUUAAACAUAGCAUGAAUGAAUAUACAUUUACAUAUGCUAAUUAAUUAAAUUCAUUUAUAAAUUUUGUUAAGUUAAUCAAGACGAAUCCGAAACAUAUUUAAAAUUCAAUUAAAAAUGUUUACCAAUUAUGACGUGGAAUUUUGUUAUAUUAAAUUAAAAUACCAUGAGCUAAGCUCCCACUUUAUCUCCAUAAUCUUCUCCAGCUAAAUCUCAAAAAAUAUAAUUGAAAUAAUAAAUACUAAUUAUAAGAAAACUCUUUCUAUAAAAAAAUAUAUUAAAAUGUAAAUUUUAAGAAAUUAUUAACUAAUUCAUAAUUCUAUUAAUUAAAUAUUUUUCGAUUUAAUUUCCAUAAUUUAAAAAAUAAUUUUAUUAAUUAAGUAAUUUUUAUUUAAUUUUUAUAAUUUAAAAAAUAAUUUUAUUAAUUAAAUAUAUUUUUAUUUAAUCUCUAUAAUUUAAAAAAAAUUUAUUAAUUAGGCCUCAAUUUUAUAAAAAACAUACUAAUAUUUUAGACUUUUUAUAAUUUUUAAUGACUAAAAUUAAUAAACAAAUUAAUAAAUUAAUAAAUAAAUUUUUAAAAUGUCAAAUAUAUUUUAAUAUAUUUUUUAAAAUUAAAGAAUUAACUAAUAAAUUUUAAAUUAAAUAGUAAUUAUUUUAUAAAAAAAUUAUUGGAUAAAGAGUUUUUUUUUUUUAAAUUUUUUUUUGUCAACUAAGAGAUUUUUAUUGCCAAAAAUUGGAAUCACUGUACAUCAAGUAUAAUAAAGAAAACCUAAUGGCUCAAAAACAAAAGCCAAGUAAAAAACCAGCACUAUAAAUCCCUUUAAUCAAGAAUGCCUACAGCAUCCACAGCAACUCAUCCAUCAAAGCACACUCACCAACAAAGGCAAAUUCCAUUUACCUGCAUCACCUUCCCCAUAAAUCAAGAGAUCCAUUUGUCAGCAACACUAAUACACGGCAACGUAACAACCAGUAGGCAUUACACCAUUAAUCAACAGCAGCAACUUGGCUCUUCAUUACACAGCAACCUGACAGAUAACAAGCAACACAACAAUCCAGUACCAAUCCAAUCCACAUAUCAAUCAGCAGCAACAAACAAGGUUCUCCCUUAAACAGUCCCUAGCAGUUAUCAAGCCACACAGCAACAAUCAACAACAAUCUUAUGCAGUCCAGCAACAUCCCUGCAUCAGUUCAAUACUCCAGGAUCAUAGCAGAACUAAUUCUGCAGCAAUAUCCCUGCAAUAUUAUCAAACUAGUUCAAUUUUAAAAACAGGACCCAGCUCCAGCUGCACCUCAACCUUCCUCCCCAAACCCACCCCUUCACCACCUACUCCGGUCCACAUUACCAUUUGGGUCAAUUUGCAUUAGCUUCAAUUUUAUACAACUAGCAAUUAGCUUUUGGUCAACAAGAAUUUAUUGGCAACCCAGCAAUGUGUAUAACACUGUAUACAGCCCCUGCACACACUAUAUCAAACCCAAUACUAUAACAGGCCAAGCCUCUAUGUACAAACACCCCACAAAUGCAAGACCAUCACCCAACAGUAACAAAUUAAUCAUAAAACUAAACCCACGCCCAAUAGUUUUCCACAGCAGAGACCUUUGUUAUACACCAAAAUGCCACAAACAGAUUAAGGCACAUCAGCAAUUAGUAACAUAUUUGAACAACCCAAUCAGCCAACAAUGAACUGUUAUCAUUACAGCUACAUAGCAAAACACAGUAGAAAUGCAACCCACCAACACUAACCAGGGAUAAACCACCAGAAAUUUAUCAGAAACAGACAACCAUAAUCAUCCUAAUUCCAGUCAUCAGAGAAAAUCAGCAGCAUUCAACUUGAACAAACACCAGCAAUAAUCAGAAACCACAGAGCACAAGCAACAAGGAGGAUCUCCAACAGCACAUCAAUCAUAUCAGCAAUCACAGAAAUAGCACUCCCAGGAUGCCAAUGCAAUAUAGCAACCACAGCACACCAAACCCAGCUCACAUCAGCCUAUCACCUAACAAUACACCACCAUUUAUACAAACAAACCAACUCCAUAUACUCCAAUCCAUAUCUUUUCUGUUUACAUUUUCUUCAGUCAUGAGUAUUAUUUCUUUAAAGAUAAGUGAAUGAUAACAAUCAUGCAAAUUAGAAGAUUUCAUUCAUGAAAACAAAUCCAUAAUUGGAUUGAAAAAAAAAUAGAUAUAUAAAAGAUGAAAUUUUUGCAAUAAGAAAUAUGGGAUGGAGUUACCAUUACAGAAAGUACAGAAACAAAAACAUGAAAACUGAUGAGCAAUCACUUUUAGGAGUCUCAACUCUUUAUUUGCCUCUUUUUUCUUUUAAAAGAAAAUAAAUUCCCUCUGUUGUCAUGCUGUUUAUCAUUGUAUGCAUGUACAGAUUCUUAUCCAGUAUCUUCUCUGUUCUCUCAAUCUCUCAGCUUAAAAUUGAUGGCUAGUUGUUGCUCUUUUUCAUCUCAGGGUGAUCUUUGUUGUACUUUCCCAUGAGUUGAUCUAAAUCAUUUUCCAAAUCCUUUUCCAACUCAAGCAGCUCCUCCCAAUAUUUCUUCAUAACUGAAACCUUCUUGUUUCCGUGACUUUUUAUCACCUUCUUCAUAUCUGCUUCAAAUUCUUCCAUCUCUUUAUCCUGAAAUUUUAUGAAACUAACAAUCUCCUCCAUCCUAUUUGCACAUAGAUUUCAAAAACAUUGUAAGUCAUAUGAGCACAGGAUUGAACACAAUAAUUUUAAUUUCUAGCUAUGAAUUUUCUGAUUAAUCAAUAGAAAGAUAGGGUGUGAUGUAUUUCUUAACAAGCUAAAAGGACUUUUGUUAAAUGCUUUCUUGCCUAGAUUGUUGUCGGUCAUGUAACUGGUUUCACCUGUAUGCCAACACCUCCAUGAUAGCACAAAGCAGCUGUUUUUCCUAGGGACAAUGUUAGCUUUAGCAUGAUAGAGAAGGCACUUUACCUGCUUGUAUCCUUUAUGGUACAGAGAUUUGCAUUUGACUGCUCAACUUUCUCCCACUUUUCCUGUUGUAACUUCUCAAAAUUAUCUUCUUUUGCAUAUAUAGCCUCAUGGAUAAUUUUGAUUUGAUCCUUGAAAAAUUGUUCUUGGGAAUCCAUCUGAAAAAUAAUGCAUUAGCAUGGUAAUACAACAGUAAGAAAUUGAUACCAGCACAAAAGUAUAAAACAGGGAAAAAGAGGAGAAACUGGCUUAAUCCUUCCUUCUGAAUUAGUGAAAAUUAAUUGAAGGUAAUGCAGAAUUCCUACAAAUUAUGAUAACAGUGGCAUUAGCUAUUUCUUUGAAUACAAUAACAGAGGGUUUAAGUAGUCUAAAUUAACUACGUGACAGGAAAGAGUAUGAACUACUAAGACGAACAGCUUGUAUCAAUGUGAUUAUAGGUAUACAAAUGUGAAGACUAUAAUUGUAAUAUGCAAUUGAUGGAUUGAUACAUGAUGCUUUAACUCAUUCUAGUAAAACAGAGAAAGGGUGUACAAGGAAUUCUGAAAAUGAUUCUUGAAGAUAAAGGAUGUACAAGGAAUUCUGAAAUAAGAUUCUUGAAGAUAUAUUCAGUACCCAAAAAAAGAAUUCAUAAGUAAUGAUUGCUACAUAAACUGCAGAAACAAUUUCUUACAGCCAGUGUUAUCAAGACGAGAGGUGAUACUAAGGCAAUAGGGUUCGGCAAGAGACGCGAGGGGAGGCGGCGCCUUUUUGAGGUGAGGCUACUUAUAUAUAUAUAUGUGUGUGUGUGUAUAUGUGUAGACAUAUAUGUCUAUAUAUAUGUAUAGAUAUUAUAUUAAUUCCUCCUUAAUCAGUUAACAUAAUUAUAAGGAUAUAUAUUCCUAAUUAGUUAACUAAAUUUUAGGCAUACUUAUUAAAAAUAUGUAAUCUUUUUCAAUAUUGGAAUGAAUUUGGAUAUUGAAAAUCAACUAUGUAGAUAUUAUAUUAUUUCUUUCCUAAUUAGUUUAUAUAUAUAUAUAUAUAAUUAGUUAGCAUAAUUAUAAAGAGAUGCAUCUCUAAUUAAUUAGACUAAUUACAGGAUAUAAAUCCCUAAUUAAUUAGCAUAACUAUGGGGGUAUAUCCUCUAAUUAGUACCUAAAAUUCAGCUCUCCAAUAUGUAUUAGAGUUUGGUCUUUAAAAAGAAAGAAAAAAAAAAGCCAUGCAUGUUGUUUUCAAGAGGCGGCGCCUUGCCUCGCCUCGCACCUCAAGCCAGGUGAAGAAAAGCGCUCGCCUUUUGGAAGAGGUCUCGCCUCAUUGGUGCUUUUUAGCGCCUUUAAUAACACUGCCUACAGUUGAGAACUACUAGCUUUGUUGCUUGCAUGUGUUGUUCUUUCUUUGUUCUGGAGCACAAAUUUAAUUAUCUAAUGCCUCUUAAUUGUUGCAAGUUAGCAAUGUACUAUAUCUACAUAAAACAUAUGCAGAAUAUACAAAAUUUCUUCAAGUAUAUUUAGAUGUUAUGGUCUUAGAUAGUGAAUCGCGUCACGAGACAAUGGACCAGGAAUAAAUUCAUCAGAGGGAGUUCUUGACACCUCAAACUCGUUGUUGAGAGAGAUUUUUAAAUUUCAAAUUCAUUUGUAAUUAAUAUGCUUGUUUUAUUGAAUAAUUAGAAACUUCUUAUAUAAUGGAUGUUUUUACAAUCUUGGUACUUCUAACUAAAGUAGAAAUCUAAUACAAGUUACUAUUGAAUAACAAACUACUAAGAUAAGAUACUAAAAAUCUAAUAACAAAUUAUUAAGAUAAGAAACUAUUAGAUAAAUGCAAUCUACUUUUUGUUGAUUAGUUGAUAGACGUUUUCUAAAAUUUGAACUUUGUUGAAGAGUAGAUUUGGUCUAUUCAUUAUCCAUAAUGUUACUCCCCUCCUUGAAAAUAAUUUUAUCCUCAAACUCAAAGGUAGACUAUGCACCUUGAAAAUAAUUGAUAGACACCCAUAUAAUUUCAAAUUUAGGACAACCUUGCUAACUAACUAAUACUUUCGAAGCUCAGGUGUUUGGCUCAAAGGCUACAACUUUAUGCCUCUUAUCAUAAUCCUUUUUCAUGUGUUUGAGCUUUUUGAUUGUCGUAACUGUAUGUAGAUUUCACUCAAAGCUAAAUCACAUUCUUUUAAAACAUGAUUUACUACCUCCACUCUUAUAGAUCUAAGAAUGUACAAUGAUAAUAGAUCAUUUGUGCAAUUGCAAGAGGAAAAGUCGAGUUUGGCAUAUUAGAGCGCCACGUGUCCUUCUGUCCUCAAUAACUUGUUGACCAAAAUUGUGCUCCCUACUACUUGUUAUAUCUUGGUUCUAGUUUGUCCCCUAUUAAAGGUUCGAACUAGUUUAGAAAUUCAUCAAGUUAAGUCAUCCAAUCGUGCAUCGAAUCGUUACAUGAAAAUAUUCAAUUUUUCUUCUAAAUUUAUUGGAUCAACCAUGAUGAUUGGCUCAAAUACCAAAUUGUUAUGGUUUCAGGUAGUAAAUCAUGUCACGAGACAAUGGAUAGGGAAGGAGUUCAUCAAAGGGAACUCUUAAUGUCUCAAACUCAUUAAUAAGAGAGAGUCUUAAAUCUCAAAUCUCAAAUUUACUUAUAAUUAAUCUACUUGUUUUAUUGAAUAAUUUGAAACCCCUUAUAUAGUGGAGGUGCUCACAAUCUUAGUACUUGUAAUUAAAAUAGAAGUCUAAUACAAGCUACCAAUGGAUAAUAAACUACUAAGAUAAGAUACUAAAAAUCUAACAAAAAAUGUAUUUAUUGUUGAUAAAAUAAAAUCUUAGUUGAUAGACUUUUUCCAAAAUUUGAACUCUAUUGAAAAAUGGUUUGGUCUAUCCUUUAUCCAUAAUAAACUAAAAGGAAACCAUGAUAAUUAGCACUUUCUAGUUUCAUUGCAUCUGAUAGAUCUAUCAAUUUAAGCAAAAUACCAGCAUCAUAGCACUUAAGUAGAAUUCACAAUUAAAUCACAGCAUCAGUGAACUUUAUUGUGAUAAAAGAUACAGUGCAUCAUAUAAGGAAAUAGAUGAUAAUGAUAACAAUGCAAUUUGUGAUUCAAAAACUAUCACCUCUCCCUUGUUUUCUUCAAGCAACAAUUUAGUUUGUUGCCUCAUAAUGUGGCUCUUUUCUAUAUUCUUGCGUAGCUCCUCGCUCAAUCUGCUUACAGACUCGGCUAGAACUUUCGAAUGCUUUUGUUCUUGAGUAGUCUUGUCCUUAAACUUGACAAGUUGUUGGCUGUUCUCAUUUAUUUGCUUUAUUCGUCUCUCAACCAUUUCUUGGUAUGACCUUAUCUCAUAUUUCAACUUGGACCUCCCUAAUCAAUCAAGUUAAACACCAUUACCAAAAUUCAAUUGUCAAUAAGGGAGGUGGAGUAAUAGAAGUGAAAAGCAAAUGAAAUGUAUUGCCAUAGUAGAAUAUUUACAAAACAUGGUUGCCAAGUCACAUUCUAAAUUCUAGGCAGUAAAUACCUUCAAUCUAGGUCCCCUAUUCCAUAGUAAGCAUGGAGUAUUUGACUUGAAGAGAUGCAUUCCAACAGUUGUCCUAAAAGUAGGCUAGCUUUCAUAUUUUCAGUUGUUCACACACACACACGGACACAAAGGUAAGGAGUGGGGGAGAGAGAGGACCUUGAGAAUGCAGGUUGAAAAUAUCCACAUCUUCUUUCAAAGCCAUGUACCCAUAGAGCUGGCGCUUCCCACCUGAACAGAAUGGAACACGAUUACUAUUCCAGGCAUCCCUGUCUCUUCCUUGCUCUUUGAAGUGCUUGUGCAGACGAGCAGCCUCUAAAUAACCUGCUGCUGUGUCAUCAAAAAUCAACAUACUCAUCCCUCUAUGCCCUUGUGGACCAUAUGAAUGUCGAGCCUUCAGUGCAGCAUAUGAUUUGAAGUGAUCCAGAAGCUCUUGGUUUCCCAUGCCAAUCCACUGCUAGAAUGCAAUUCUUAGUAGAAAAUAAGUAGCUAUAACAGAUUCAAGAAGUCUGGCUCAAAUAAAUAAAAACCCCUAAUAAAUUUUUUUUGGAUAUGACAUUAUGCUCAUAUCUUGUUGUUUGUUCGCAUAGUAAACAGGCUAGCCUCAUCAAACAAAGCAGAAAACAUGACAUUACCUUGCCAUUUUCCUCCUGCUCAUAUCUUGUGUUCACAAUGACAACCAUUGGAGGCCAAACUAUUUCAUAAUCUUUGACUUUCUCAUUUAGACCUUGCCAUCUGCCAAAGGCUACACCAAGUGGUGCCAAUGAAAUUCCCCUCCUUCGUGUCUCUUCAUCCAAAGUUUCAGCAAGUACACGAUGGAGCUUUGCCCUUCUUGUCUUUCUUGUCAUGGCAUGAUACAUCAAAGGCUCCAGGCCACGAUACCAGUCAAUAGCACCAGGACCCCCUUUGCAAGCAGGGCAAUGCCACUUUCUUCCUGGUGAAUUCAUCUCCUCAACAGUUAGUUUUUCCAAGUCUUCAAAGAAUCCCUUGAACCAAUUGUUCUUCUUGCGCAUCUCAUGGCUCCUUUCACUCGUACACGAAUCAAAAUCAUCAUCAAAGAAUUCAUCAUCACUACUGUCAAAUAUCUCAUCAUCGUCAUCAUCAUUGUUGUUAUCAACAAUUCCGUUCUUAUCAUCACUAACACCACCAAGUUGGCAGUUGCAGUGUUCAUCCUUCUUCAUCUCAUCCCCGCCAUUUAACUGAGGAGAACCAACUUGAGAAUCAAUCCCACUCUGUCCCUGCUCAAUGUAGCUGUUCUGCUGAGAAGAUAAUUCACUUCCAGAGAUCGAGAAAUUCUGAAAAAAAGGAAUUUGAUUUGUCCUGGCAUUGCCAUUGCUAUUGCUUUGCAUCCCAAGUUUAUGCAUCAAAUUUGGACGUCCCCAUGCACCAGUAUAAAUCUGAGGACAACGGCCCUCUGCACUAAUCUUUCCAUCAUCAAGUGAAGAUUUUGCAUUGAUAUUUGAGACAUUUUUACUCAACGACUUAACACGGUGACCACCAGAAAAUUUUCUAUACACGCUCCCCAGCUGGGGAAAUGGAUCACUGUUAUCAUCCAUGAUGUGGGUCAUUAAUUGCCUUAUCUAGAAGCUUUCUUUGAUCAAAUGAUGUCCUGGUUUCAAUUUUUUUUCAUAAAAAAAGAAUCAGUUCAACAAUCUGUAGUUUGUUUCCUCAAACAAACAGCUACAGACAAAUUUGGGGCCAACCAAGUGGAUCCCAUCUUUGUAGAAAUGAAAUCUCAUUAUUUAAUUUGAAGGGCCAUCCAGAAGAAUGAAUUGAUUAAUAACAAAAACUGCAUGCAAACAAAUAUUAAUCUUUUUUUUUUUUACCUGCAAAUGAGCAAACAACUAUUAAUCAAGAACUGAAGAAACCCAGAAGAGAAUAUGCACUGACGUGGCACUAUUGCAUAUAUUUUAUUAGGAAAUUAAUAUAUAAAACCACAAGAUAAUAUUAAUAAGAAAAGGCACAGACUUCAAGAAACAAAAAAGCCACCGUUACGUAAUCACCUCACCAUCAGCUAACUGAGCUAUAAAUCUAACCCAGAAGAGCUGAAGAGACAUAUAGUCGUGCAACUUCCGGACAACAGAGAAACCAAGCAUUGGAGUUAACUAUUUCCAGACAUUAGCUAAAAACUUGCAACCCUUUUCUCAUUGAAUAGAUACAUUGAUUUAUAAGCAAGAAUGUGCCUCAACAAAUCAGGCGGUACCCAUCAAUAUACAUCACGAAAAGAGGAAACCAUCAGAAAAAGCAGAGAGAAGGGAAGUGAGAAAAUAAUGAAAGAUCUUGAUAAAUGUUUGAUUGGAAAUUAAAGAAAAAAAUCUUGCCAAAAAUGAAAAAGUGGAAGUAGAAAAAUGCAGGGAUGGAAGAACCUGGUGAUUUCAGGGGACUGGCACACAGAAAACGAUCACCUUUGCUUCCGCAGAUACGUGUUUUCAUUAUGUGAUGGCUUGCUGCCAUGAGUCUAUGAUAAGGAGGAGAAGGGGCAAAAAGGGAAGAAAAAAAAAAGCGCUAGAUUCGAGAGCUGCUUUUUUUUUUUAUAAUUCCUGAGAAAUUAUUAAAAAAAAAUAAUUCCAAAAUAGAGAACUUUCCAUUUUGACAGUAUUAAAAUUGAAAUUUUUUUAAUUAUUAUUUAAUUUUUAUUAUAUUAAAGAAUUUACUAAUUAGUUUUUUAAUUUUAAAAAAUAUAUUAAAAUAUUUUUUAAAUUUUAAAAAAUUUAUUAAUCAAUUUUUUAAAAAUAUUUUGUUAUUUAAUCUUUAUAAUUUAAAAAAUUAUUAAUUAAUUUUUAAAUUUUUUUAAAAUUUACUAAUUAAUUUUUUUGUGUAAGAAUAUUUCAAAUUUUUUUAUAAUAUUUAAUGAUUAAAAUUUAUAAAAAAAAUUAAUUAAUAAAUUUUCUAAAAUAUUUAAUAUAUUAUUUAAAAAUAAAAUAUUAAUUAAUAAAAUUUUCUUUAUUAUAAAAAUUAAAUAUUAAUUUUUUUUAAUUUUUGAAAUUUUAUAUUUUAAUUCCAUUGAAGUGUAGUCUCUAUACAUAUUUAAAAAUAGUUUUAUUUUUUCAAUUUAAUAAAUUUAAAAUACUUAAAAUAAAUUAUUAAUUUUUUUAAAAAAAUAUUGCAUUUUCCAAAGCACAUUAGAUUCAAGACAACAAAUCAAAACAUCAAAACCCACGAUCUAGAAUGAAGAAUCCAUAAUCCGAACUUGAUUUCGACCAAAUCAGCCCGGCCACCGAGUCACCAUUGGAAUUAUUGACGAAAAAGAAGCAGGAAAAAAAUACACUGACAAAAUGCCAACAGCAAAUCCAAAUGAAAAUUUUCGCAACAUCAGGAAGAAGAUAGAAAGACACUGCUAAAUAUAGACUUGCUUGUAAGCAGAUUCAAAACGGGAAGGACCGCGACUGGACAAAAGCAGUUCAAAUGAGGAUUAAAUAUAAACGUAAUUCGGUAAUAACUAUAUUUGAAUAAAUUUUAGAGAUGAUUUAAAUUUUAUUUUUUUAAUUUUUAUUUAAAAAAAAUAAAUAAAUAAAACCGUUCAUAGAAAGAAAAAAGCUGCGCGACCAGAGCUCAGCCAUCAUCAAGCGUAAAUGCAAUUUUAGAAAUUGAUUUUCACGAUUGAAAAUAAAGUCGCUAAUUAGAAAAUUAAAAAAGUAAUUUAUUUUAAUGAAUACUUUUAAAAAUAUAUUAAAAUAAAUUUAUUAAUUAUUUUUUUAUUAAAUUUAAUUAUUAAAUAUUAAAAAAAUUUAAAAUAUUGAUAAUAUUUUAAAUUCAUAAAUAGUUUUUUAUGUAUCAAUUCAGGAUAAUAAAUUUUAAAAUAAAGAACGCUUUUAUAUUAUUUGUUAUAUUAAAAAAAAAAAAAAAGAUUCUCGUUAUAGAGCAGCUAUUUUCACGGUGAAGUGUGGGGGAGGGGCUCCCCCACGUGGUUCAUCGUGUUAUUGAUUUAAAUCAUUUAAUACUUUUAAAUCAUUCUCUAUGUAGAAAAUAUUACUUUUAAAUUUGAUUUCAUACUUUCUCCAAACUAAAAUUUCAAAGGUUCUAGAUUCUUGUCCGAUAUUUUAAAUAAUGUAGUAAAUAUAUCUCUUUAUUUUAUAUUUUUUAUUAUUUUAAAAUUAUUUUUUUAAACUAUAUUAAUAUAUAAAUAUAUUAUAAAAAAUUUAUUAUUUAAUUUUUAAAUAUUAUCUUUAUUAAUAAAUCAAUUCCUAAAAAUUCAGUAAAAUAAUUUUAUUUUUUAUCUCCAUCAAUAAAAUAAUUCUUCAAUAAAAUAAUUUUUUUAUAAUGAUUUAGGAUUCGGACCGCUACCGACGCUAAGGUUUAGAUCCACUUAAGGUCACCGAAACCAAUAGCAAGUCUACUAUACGUCCUGAUACACCUGAUAAAAUCUCAUAUAUGAUCACACGAAAAUAUAAACAUAAAUAUUUCAUGAACCAAAACUCGAUCUGUUUAUGUACCAAAACUGAAAAUAUAAAACUCACACUAGAACCCUCAUCAAAUGCUCCAGUAUGGUAAACAUAAUAUGUCUCAAUUUUAGUUCAAAUAUAAACUCAUACUUAAAACUUUUACAUAAGAAUUAUGGAAACAGGAAUUACAAGGACAAAAAUUAGGGCAAAACACAAUUCUAAAACCAUAAAGCAAUACAUGUCUAUAUCUCUACUAUUACAAAUGACUAUACCAGCUAUUCAGCCGACUCUCUCGAGCUAACUCUGAUCCUGCAAACCUGGAGUUAGGGGAAAGGGAUAAAGUACAAGAGUCUAGUGAAUAGAACAUAAAAAUAGUUCAAUAAACAUAUAAUCGAAUGAAAUUCAUCGCCACACAAACAAUUCACAGAUUUGUCACUAGCUAGUAACUCUCUACAAAUUCCAAUAGUGUCGGGCCCACGAUGGGUGCUCUUCAAGACUUCCUCUUAAACAUAUCAUACUAUAUCCAUAAUGCUAGGGGUGUAGAAUGGGCAACCCUGGUUUUUCCCUUACAUAGUGCCAGAGGCGUAAAAUUGGCAAGUUUGGUCUUUCCAUAUCCGUCAUAACAUAUCAUACGGUUAUCCAAUAUCCAUCCACAACAACAGUAAAUUAUGCAAUGCAUAAUAUUCGUGAAUUCUAAUGCAAAUAACCUAAUAUAUAAACAUGGCAUUUGUAAUACAUAAACAUAUCAUACUAUAUCCAAUUUUAUUAAUUUCUUAAUUACAUUUUUGUUAGAUAAUAAUUCCUUUUUAAAAUAAUAUUUUAAUUUCUUAUUAUUGAAAUUUAUUUAAAAUUAAACAAACUCUAUGAUUAAUUAAAAUUUUAAUAACCAAUUAAAUUUGAGAUUUUUAUUAUAAUAAUUCUAAAUUAUUAGGGUAAUUUUAGCAAUUGAAUUACUCUCUUUCCUUUCGAGUUUUUAUAUACUAAUUUGGCUUUUUCUUUUUUUUGGUUUGUGUUUUUAAUAUUUUCCAUUUGAACAAAAGCUCAUAAUACACGAAUUUAGAAUAUUAUUUAUUUUAAUCAUGACAUAAAUAGAAUUUAAUAAAUAAAAAUUAUAUAUUUAUUCAAAUAAUAACAUAAAUUAUUUGAUAUAAUAAAUUAAUAAUUAUAUUACCUGUUUUAAUAGCAAAAUAAAUAAUAAAAAUAUACAAAUAAUAACAUUUAUGGCAGUAUGGUUGUAAUAUUCAGCUAAAUUUUGAUAUUAAAAUUUUUAAUUUUUGAUGAAAUUUUAAUUGAGAUUUAAAAUUUUAAAACUGAAAUUUUAAAAAAAUAAAAUAGAAUUUUUAUAAAAAAUAAAUUUGAAAUAUUUUAAAUGUGUUAAAAAUUAUAUUAAAUAAAAAAUAAUAAAUUUGUUUGAUAAAAGAAAUAGUAAUUUGUUUUGUAUCAUAUUUUACAUUUUAAUAUAUUAUGUAUAUUUAUAUAAUUUAUCAGUAUAUAAUGCCAAAAUAAUAAUUUGAUUAGUUAAAAAAUAAAAAAUUUGAAAUAAAACUAUUAAAAAAUAUAUAAAUAAGUAUAUGGGAAUUAAAAUAUAAUAAUUAAAAAUAAUAAAAUUACUUUAAAUUUUUAUUUAUUAUUUAAAUUAAUUUUGAAGUUUAUAUAAGUUUAAAAUUCUUAAUUGAAGUUAUGCUUAAUUUCUUUUACUCAAAUUUUCUUAUUAUAAUUGAAAUGGUUAAAUAAAUGUUUUUCUUUAAAAUUUUCUAAAAAAUUAAAACAUUUAAUUAUUGUAAACUUUUUUUUUCCAAAUAUUGUAAACUUUAAAAAUUAAAAUAUAUAAUUUGAUAUACACUAAACCCCACUUUAAAGAAAAAUAUAUAAAAAUUAAAAAUAAUUCUAUUUAAAUUAAGUAAUAUUUAUAACAUUUUAAAUUAAAAUUAAGUAAUGAAAAAUAAAUUAACAGAAAAUAUUUUUUAAAUAUAAAUUAUAUUUCACAAAUAAAUAGAGACUAAAUUGCACUUUAAUUUAUCCUUUAAUAAAAAAAAUGCUUAAACAUUUUUCAAUUUUUGAAGUUUUAAAACCCAAUUUAUACCAAUAUUGAGGUAAUAAAAUUUACCUUAGAUUUAAUUAAUUUGAAUUUUAUAAUAAAAAUUAAUUCUUUAAUUAAGAAAAAAUUACAUAUAUUUGUAAGUUCUCUGAUUUCCCUUAUUUUUGUUUCUCCUUCAGCUUCAUAUGGAUUUGUCAUUGGCUUGAGAUAUUGGAGCAAAUUUGAAGUUGGAUUAUUUUUUAAGAAAUUAAAGCAAUAUGGAAAACAAAUGUUUUUUUCCAGGGCCUGCGGUAUUCGGUUAAAUCCAAAAAAUUAAUCAAAUUGAAUUAAUUUAAAAUUUUAAUUUGAUUUUUUAUUUAUUUCGAUUCGGUUUAAUUUUUAAUUUUAAAAAUUUUAAUUAUUUCAGUUAGUUUUGAUUUUAAUUAAAAAAAAUCAAAAAAAUUAAACUGAAUCGAUUAUGUGAUAAUAACAUAUUAUUUUCAAUAAUAUAGAGAGAUUAGAUCAUAUUAAAGUUAAAAUAUUUCAAUUAAAUUUUAAAAUAUUAAAAAUAAAGUAUAAAAAAUAAAAAAAUUAUUAAAAAUUCAAACUGAUCAAAUUGAACCGAAUCAGACUAGUUUGGUUCUAUUUGAUUUUUAAUCAAAAUUGAUUCGAUUCGAUUUUUAUAAAUAUUAAAAUUUUAAUUUUUGAUUUAUUUAAUUCGGUUCGAUUUUAAACCGAAUCGACUGAAUGCUUACCUUGUUUCCACCUAACACUCAUGGUAAGCCUUCUUCACUAAUCUUUUGAUUUAUUUCAAGAAAAAUUUUCACUUCUAUGAAUGUGCUCAUGUUAUCAUACACUAAAAAAUAUAUUUUUUUUUAAUAAAUACAUCAUAUAUUACAAAAUCAUGCUAUUUUUUCUAUAUAAAUUCAUUUCUUUUGAAAUUAUUUAUUUUUUAAUUAAAAGAAUUAAAUUCUAUUAUUAGAAAUCCAGAUCAAAUUAUAUUAGAUUGUUUCCAUUUAAAUAAAAUAAUGAUGCUCAUAAUCUCAAUCCUAAUUCACAAAUCAUCACCAAAGUAAAAUAGGAAAGUAUGAGAAGAAUUUUAACUUUAUUCUAUUAUACUCCUCUGAAAAUAAGGAUUGAAAGUAUGUUUGGCUCCAUUUAAUGAGCUUGUCCAAGGUUAUUUUUUUAAAAACUUUUUAAUAAGAAAAUAAUUGAAACUAAAUUUAAUUAGUAAAUUAACUAAAAUAAAUAUUUUUUUGAUAUAUUUUCCAAAUCACAAGCAAAAUAAUUACAAUCUAAAAUCUAAACUCAAAGGAUAUGUUCAAAGCUUCUGAGAAUACUUAACCACUAUAAAAUAUUAUCGAACAAAAUAUAAGCACCAAAUGAUAGUACAUUAUUGACUAUAGAUUAUAAGGAAACUUAUUUUUUAGUAGCAUGUCAAGUCUCAAAUGUCUAUUUUAUUGUAGCUAGUAUUAUUAUAAUUGUCUAGACAGAAAGAUAGAGCUCUUAAAGAGUAUCCAGAAACACUAAUCUCUUAAUCAUAAUGACAACGGAGGGUUAUGAAUAGGUGGACUAUGUCCAGAUGGAGGAACAUAUCCCUUGGGCAACAUUUCCUAAUGAUUAAGUGGUGGAGGAUUAUGAAUAGGCGGAGAUUGUCCAGAUGGAGGAACAAAACCCUUAGAAAGCAUUCUAAAACUCUCAUCUCUUAAUGCUGGUGGCGGAGGAUUAUGAAUAGGUGGAUUUCCUCCAGAUGGAGGAACAUUGCCCUUAGGUAACAUCCCAAAAUGACCAAGUGGUGGAGGAUUAUGAAUCGGUGGAGAUUGUCCAGAUGGAGGAACAAAGCCCUUAGAAAGCAUUCUGAAACUCUCAUCUCUUAAUGCUGGCGGCGGAGGAUUAUGAAUAGGUGGAUUUCCUCCAGAUGGAGGAACAUUGCCCUUAGGUAACAUCCUAAAAUGACCAAGUGGUGGAGGAUUAUGAAUCGGUGGAGAUUGUCCAGAUGGAGGAACAAAGCCCUUAGAAAGCAUUCUGAAACUCUCAUCUCUUAAUGCUGGUGGCGGAGGAUUAUGAAUAGGUGGAUUUCCUCCAGAUGGAGGAAUAUUGCCCUUAGGUAACAUCCUAAAAUGACCAAGUGGUGGAGGAUUAUGAAUCGGUGGAGAUUGUCCCGAUGGAGGAACAAAGCUUUUGGAAAGCAUUCUAAAACUCUCAUCUCUUAGCGAAGGAUUAUGAAUAGGUGGACUUUGUCCAGAUGGAGGAACAUUGCCCUUAUCAAACUUUUCAAAAUGACUAAGUGGUGGAGGAUUAUGAAUUGGUGGAGAUUGCCCGGAUGGAGGAACAAAACCCUUAGAAAACAUUUUAAAACUCCCAUCUCUUGAAUAAGCCCCCUCAUCCAAUUUGGCAUCAACGAGACAAAGAGCAAAAACGACUAUGCAAAAUGGAAUUAUGCUAAUUGUUGUCAUUGUUUUAAUUUGUUUAAGAAAUUGUUACAUUGCAUGGUUUAAAUAUAGGUGCACCAUCCUCCAAAGCAUAGAAAAUAAAUCUUUCAAUUUCUAUUGGUAUAAUUAAUUUAUUUAAAAAAUAUAGAAUUAUUAUUAUUUUUUAUAUCUGUUGUUGAAUGAUUGGAUUUUAAUUUCUAUUUAUGAUUUUUAAUUUCUAUUUAUGAUACAAUUGACAUUAAUAUAAAAGCACUCAAUAAUAGGAAAAUAUAGUAAUAUGGAUUUUUUUUUAUUCAUUCUUGUGGUUGAAUUAGGAAAGUAAAAAUAAAUAUUUUUUUGCAAAACAUAUAUUUACAUACUUAUAUUUUAAUAUUUUUAUCUAUCAGACGAUUCAAUUUUAAUCAUAAUUUAAUAAAUAUUUAAAUUUUAAAAAAAUUAAUUUUAAACACCUAAAUUUUAAAAAUAUAUAUAUUUUAAAUAUAUAAAUUUUAAAAAAAUAUACUUUUAUACAUAAUUUUAAAAAUAUACUUAUAAAUUUUUAAAUAUACUUUUAAAUAUAUGCACUCCAAGGCUUAGCCUGGUGGAAAGUGCAUCCUAUAGCCUUAAAAGGUCUAAGGCUAAGGUUCGACUCCCCCAACCCCUAUUUCAAAAAAAAAAAAAAUAUAAUUUUAAAAAUACAAAUUUAAAAAAUUAUUUUUAAACAAAACUNNNNNNNNNNNNNNNNNNNNNNNNNNNNNNNNNNNNNNNNNNNNNNNNNNNNNNNNNNNNNNNNNNNNNNNNNNNNNNNNNNNNNNNNNNNNNNNNNNNNNNNNNNNNNNNNNNNNNNNNNNNNNNNNNNNNNNNNNNNNNNNNNNNNNNNNNNNNNNNNNNNNNNNNNNNNNNNNNNNNNNNNNNNNNNNNNNNNNNNNNNNNNNNNNNNNNNNNNNNNNNNNNNNNNNNNNNNNNNNNNNNNNNNNNNNNNNNNNNNNNNNNNNNNNNNNNNNNNNNNNNNNNNNNNNNNNNNNNNNNNNNNNNNNNNNNNNNNNNNNNNNNNNNNNNNNNNNNNNNNNNNNNNNNNNNNNNNNNNNNNNNNNNNNNNNNNNNNNNNNNNNNNNNNNNNNNNNNNNNNNNNNNNNNNNNNNNNNNNNNNNNNNNNNNNNNNNNNNNNNNNNNNNNNNNNNNNNNNNNNNNNNNNNNNNNNNNNNNNNNNNNNNNNNNNNNNNNNNNNNNNNNNNNNNNNNNNNNNNNNNNNNNNNNNNNNNNNNNNNNNNNNNNNNNNNNNNNNNNNNNNNNNNNNNNNNNNNNNNNNNNNNNNNNNNNNNNNNNNNNNNNNNNNNNNNNNNNNNNNNNNNNNNNNNNNNNNNNNNNNNNNNNNNNNNNNNNNNNNNNNNNNNNNNNNNNNNNNNNNNNNNNNNNNNNNNNNNNNNNNNNNNNNNNNNNNNNNNNNNNNNNNNNNNNNNNNNNNNNNNNNNNNNNNNNNNNNNNNNNNNNNNNNNNNNNNNNNNNNNNNNNNNNNNNNNNNNNNNNNNNNNUUUUGGUAUUUUUAUUGGAAUUAUAUGCUAGGUAUUAAAAUUUAAAGUUAAAUCAUAAAAAGACUAUUUUAAAAAAAAAAAAAAUUACAGUUCCACUUUAUUUUAAUUUUAUUGUCAAUUAAAUCAUAAUUUUUAUAUCUUUUCAAAAUAUUCUAUAAUUAUCCAUGCAGUUAGAGAUUAAUAAAAUUAUUAUGUUAUUAAAUAUAUUUUAUUAUAUUAAUUAUAAUUUAAGUAAAAUUAAUAAUAAUUUAAAAUUUUAUAUGAUAAUUUUUAAAAUUUAGGAUGGAAUUGUGAAUUUUUAUAAGGUUUUGAAUUUUUUUAAUUAAUUAUAAAAUUAAAUUUUUAUAAGAGUUUUUUUAUUGAAAAUAUAGUUUCAUAACUUUAGGCAGUUAAGUUGUCAUUAUUAAUUGUAUUUAAUUAUUAAUUUUAUAUUUUUAUUUUAUCAAUAAUUUAGAAAUAAUAAUUUAUUUUAUCACUAUUGACAUUGCUUUUCGAGUGCUAAGAUGAGUAAAUUUAAUUAGUUAUGAAAUAUUUAAAAUUAUAUUUAAUAUAAUUUAUUUUUAAAAAUAUCAAAAUAAUUAAAAUUUAAUUUUUUUAAGAUACUUAUUCUGUCUUCCUUACUCUUAACCAUAAGUACUUUUUAAACUGUUAAUUUUUAAAAAACAUUGUUAUAAGGAGGGGAUGAAUAUUGGAUUUAAAUUGAAAAAAUUAAUUAAAUUAAAUUAAUUUAAAAUUUUAAUUUAAUUUUUUUAUUUAUUUUAGUUCGAUUUAAUUUUUAAUUUUAAAAAUUUUAGUUAUUUCAGUUCGGUUCGAUUUUAAUAAAAAAAAUUAAAAAAAUCGAAUCGAACUGAUUAGUGAUAAUAAUAUAUUAUUUUCAAUAAUAUAGAGAUGUUAGAUAUAUUAAGGUUAAAAUAUUUUAAUUAAAUUUUAAAAUGCUAAAAAUAAAAUAUAAAAAAUAAAAAAUUUAUUAAAAAUUGAGACCGAUCAAACUAAACUGAAUCGAAUUGAAUAAGAUUUAUUUGGUUCGAUUUGAUUUUUGAUUAAAAUCGAAUCGGUUUGAUUUUUAUAAAUAUCAAAAUUUCAAAUUUCAGUUUAUUUGAUUCAAUUUUAUUUUGAAUCGAACCGAGCGAAUAUGUGGACUCUAAUUAUAAGACAUGUUGAUUUGGGAUAAUAUAAAUUAUUAUUUUUAAGUAAUUAAUAAAAAUAAAAAAUAUUAUAAUAAUAACACAAGUUAAUUUUUUUUAAUGUAAUUAAUUAUAAAAAUUUAAUUUUUAUAAUAUGAAAAACAUUUUAUAAGCAUAAAUGUAAGAAAUAAUAAUUAAACGAUUUUAAUAAACAAAUUAUAAUUUAUAGACAAUUUAAAAAAGGAAAUGGGUUAUCAAAAUAAUUGUAAGAAAUUUCCAUGAUUAGAUAUAAAAAUUUAAUUUUUUCAUCAAAACAUUGAUAAUAGCAUAGUUGUUAUCUCCAUAUUAGACUCACCACUAGAAAUUAAAUCAAUGAAUCAAAUCCCAAUUUCAUAAUUGUGAUUUAGCAAGAGUUUUCUAUUAAAUAUAAUCUAUAACAAUAUUGCAUAAUAAAAAUCCCAUCAGUUCCUCAUUAACCCUAUGGCACCUUGUAAAAUUUCACCCCUAACAAAACCCAUCUCCACUAAUCACUUCAUCUAGUAGAGUUUUGCAGUUAAAAAACUUAAAGAAUCUGUAUCUUCUUGCUUCUUUCUUGAUCGAGCUCAGAAUUCCUGCUAUGAGCAUCAAGACUCCUAUGAUUUUGAUGGAUGGCAUCUUCUUUAUAAACUUCAUACGACUAUUGUGAAGGUAUUUUUUACUUUUUUUUUUUUAUAAGAAUUAAAGUAGUGGAGAUUUGAAUCUGAUUCUAUCAGACCUUCUGCCACUCAAUUAAAGUAUGCUAAAUAAUUACAACAUUUUUUUAUAAAGGACCGACUGAUUAGAUUCCGUUGAGAGUUUUAAUCAAUUUCGUUUGAUUAAAGACGAUGUAAGAGAAACAAUAGGUUAGAAAGCGAAAAAUCUUAUUAAAAAUUUUUUAUAAAUUGAAAAGUGAAUCUCAGAUAGUUAAAGAAAGACUAUUUAUAAUAAAAAAAAAAUUCUAAUAUGUAAAAAAAUAAUUAAAAUAUAAAAUUUACUUUCUAAAUAGUAAAAUUUUUAUCUUGAAUUUUAUAAUAGGCCUGCAAUGUUCGUCACACUUUUAAAAGUCGUGCGUCUUAAAAUUUCAUUUUUAAAAGUUAUCGGAAAUCUCUAUCGGACGUAGAUAAUACAAAUUAGAUUCGGUUCAAAUUUACAAUAAAAUCUAAAAUUAAUUUCUAUUAAAUUUACUUUUUAAGUUAUAUUUUCACUAGAAAAAUCUGAGACUUUUUAUUUUUUUUUUUAGUUUUAAAUCCAAUGUUCAACCAAUAUUAGAGAAAUAGUUUAUUUUUUAUUUAUUUAAUUGGAAUUGGAAUUUUAGGAUAAAAAUUUUAUUAUGUUUUUUUCCCUUGAUUUUUGUUUUUCUUGCAGCUUCAUUUGGAAUUGUCUAUGUCUUUAUUGGCUAGAGAUUUUGGAGCAAAUUUGAAGUUGGAUUAAUCUUUAAGAAAUAAAUCAAUAUGGGAAAGCAAGGACCUUGUUACCACUGUGGCACUCAUAGUAAGCCUUCUUCACUAUCCUGAAUGAUUUUAUAAAAAAAAAAAGUUAUAAAAUAAUAUAAGUAAAUAACACUUACCCUUCGAACUUUAGGUAUAAGUAUUUUACCAAUUUAAAUUAAUCAGAAUAUAUAAAUUUUAGUUUUAAGAUUUAUUUCCUUUUUAUCUAAAAUGCAUAGAACCAAAUUGGAACAGGCACUCCACUAUGGAGAAAUGGGCCACCAGAGAAACCAGUGUUAUGCAAUGCCUGUGGAUCAAGGUACAGGAUUAGAGGAACUCUUGCAAACUAUACACCUAAGCAUGCCCAAGGGCAACCACUUGCUAAAAGGCUAAGAACUAUCUCCAAAUGCAGUUUCAAAACUGAAGAAAACUACUCUUCUUCUGAUGAUGAUGAUUCUACACAAUCUGCAAUAUCUUGUUCUCUGAGCUCCUGCAGCUUCAUUGGAAAUGAAGAGAAUGCAGCCGAAAGUCUAGGUAAUUACCAUUCAAAAUGAUGUUUUGAGAUUAAAAAAAUAGGGUUUACAGUGAUGUGUGAGUUUAAAUGGAAAAGAAGUCGUACCUCCUUUUAUCCCUUUCCCUACGUCUAAAUGUUUCUCUAUAGCGACGCCACCGGUUUCUGUCAAUCAGAACCGUAUGUAUAGAUAUGUCAUUAUUUCUCUAUAUGCCAGAUAACCAUUUAAUUGCUUUUCCGUGCGUAUGCGAGCUGUUGUAAAGUGACUGGGUCUGUCCUCCCUACCCUUGUCACGUCAUCGAACUAGACUUUCAAAAGAUGGGCCUGCACGAGUGCUUGAUCCGGCCUACUUCAUGUUACUAGACUGGAGCGCUCUGUAUGGACUGGUUUGCUUACGAUAAAGGCCUGGUGGGUUGGCUGAGUCUUCCCCAGAAGUCUGGUUUUACCUCAGGGCAGAAAACCCAAUGGUCAUUAGAAAAUUUGAUAUUUUUAGGGCAGAAAACUCAAUGGUCAUUAGAAAAUUUGAUAUUUUUAGUCUCAAAUACUCUCGGUGAAUCUGUAUAGUUGUUUGUUAUUGUUUGCAGGUGGAAUCCAGGAAAGCUUCUGGAAAUCAUGCAUACCAUCAAGAAAGAGGUCUUUAUAUGUUCAACGCAGUCUUACACCCAUUGAAAGAUUCCAGAGAGAGCUUCGCAAUAUUUUGGUGCAUGAUCCUUUGAUCUCGUCUGAAAAUGAAGAUGAUAUUCUCAUCUAUAAUUCAAAUCACCUGCGAGUAUCCCGCAAUGAAAUUGGUCUUGGAAGCUUUCUUCUCAAACCCAACACUGCUGCUUCUUCCACAGAAAUUGCCCCACCACCAGCUCAUGAGACAUUCUUCUCUCUUGUGGAUGUUAAACCUUCUCUAGUGGAUAUCAAGGACUCUGGUUGGAAGAGCUCUCUUCUCAAUCCCAACACUGCUGCUCCUACUGCUUCUCCCGCAGAAGUUGCACCACCAGUACCUCCUCAUGAGACAACCUCCUCUCUUCUGGAUGUUAAAAUUUCUCUAGUAGAUAUCAAGGAUUCUGGUUUGAAUGAUUCUCAAAUUAGAUCCUCAUCAUCCAUGUAAGUAGCAGGCUUUGUUCUUCUUUCUGUUUUAUUUCUUUUACUUUAUCCAUCAUUUGGUAGAUUCAUUCUAUAAAAAAAAAAAGAAUGCAAAUGAAAUCUUAUAAAAAAUUUAUUUCUUUUGAAAUGAAAAAUAAUUAAAUUUCUCAUUUUUAAAAAAAUUAUAGCAAAAACUUUUAAUUUCAAAUAAAAAUAAUUGAAAAUUUUUAUACUUUUAUAUUUAAAUCAAUAUUUUUAAAAAUUAAUUAUAAUUAAAAUAUAUUUAAAAAUUGAGUUUUAUCAUACAAAAAUUAAAAAUUUUAACUAUAAUUAUAAAAUUUUAAACUUUUAUAUCAAAUAAAUCAGCUAAAUAAACGUUGGAAGAGAAAAAGUCGGGAGAUAAAAUUGAUACGACGCCGACUUUACCCCUCUCUUCAUUCUCCAUAGACCAUUAGCCCUUUUGCUCCCACCGCCGCCAACGCUACUUCCUCCUACGUCGCCCGCAACGCCGCCACGGCCGCGGCUACUGCUUGGGUACGUUGCGUAUUUCAGUCAGUGAUUAUCUUCUUCAACUAAUGUUCCUCAUUUUUCUGUUGUCAAUGAUCAAAAUUCAUGAAUUUACUGGAUUUUCUUUUGAAUGGUUAAGUGUUGAUCAAUUGCUUUGUUUGUGAAGCAGCAAUGGUGGAUCCAUGGUGGCCUCUGUUAGGUGCAGCAAUACCAGCCUUAAUUGCAGGGCAAGCUUUGAGGAUGAACAAGAAGAGGGCUGAAGAGCAAAGGUUAAGGAGUGCUGGAGGCCGUGAAAAAAGCGCUGAUGAAAAUUUUGUUUGUGAAAGGGUAUGCACUUCAAAACGGAUGUUAAAAAAGGUUGGUGCUUUAUCUAAAGACCCAACUGUUGAUUCUUGUGUCACUGUUUGUGGUGUUUCUGAGCUUGAUGCUUGUGCUGAUGCUUGUGCAAGAACUGUUUGUGUUAAUCAACAUCAAGUACCCAAUUGGAAUGAUGUCUGUUUAAGGAGGUGCCAAAAUGAGUGCCUUAGGCUGUCUAAUUCCUCUGUUACUCCUUGAAGAAUUUCAUGUAAUUGUAAUUUAUUUGACAUCUUAUUUGCAAUAAAUUUGUGUUUUUCUAUUUCUUUGGUAAGUUGAUGAUCAACACUGACUAUGUUAGUCCAUUUCAAUUUGACCAUUUUCUGCUUGAAAUAGAAAUUCGUUUGAUUCUAUUAUACAUAUUGAUGAUUGAGUGGAUCAGCUCAGAGUUUCUUAUGUUUCUUUUGUUGUUUAAACUGUAGAUUUCUUCACAUUCUAGCUAUCUUUAUGAACUCUUAUCAUGCUCAAAUUGAUUCUUUUAGGUUCUCAUGCCUCUGAAUAUUGAAUAGUUUUUGAGUGUAUACUUAGCACUGAGGUUGGAAAUUUGUCCAAGUAAAUACCUUCUUAGAUGUUUUUGCAAUGCAUUUACAGAGGAACUUUAUUGAGUUUUUUAGGAGUUCUUGUGACCAGAACAAGUUAAAUUGUCUCUUUUCAGUAAAAAAAAUAGAGGGAAAUGUGGGACUUGAACUUGGGUAUUUACCCUUGUUGAGAGAUGCACCCAAAGGUGCUAAUUGCCUUUAAUUAAGGCAUGCGACAUCAAGACUAAUGAUGCCAAGCAGAUCCGUAGUAUACUCAAAGCUAAGGCAGGCACCAGUCAAAGUUCAUUCUGUUAUGAAACAUGUUUCAAGGUAGGAUUAGUUUAGAUAGUGGUAUUGCAAUUAUGAUAUCAAGUUCUCUUUCCGUUUUCUUCUUAAAGCUUUAAUCUUCAUUAGAUUCCAUUGGUGAUCUUUUCCAUAGAUACUCAGUGAUCUCUCCAGUUUUUAGCUACUGGCAAUUUCAACAGUCGUGUUUUUCCUCCCUUUAUUGGAGCGUAGAACUUCUGUUAUGGGAGUUGAAGUUGCUGGAUCUGGAUAUAAAUGAUUUUUCUUGUUUAUACAAUAUGUAUUUUUAUCUCACAGGUAAGCAUAUUCCUCCUAAGUUCCCAGCCAUUUAGGCAUGAGCUUAUGAAAAAUCUGCACACCUUCAUCGUUCUUUUGUUUCCAAUCCAUCUCAUCUUUGAGGCAAGCAAUUUGCCAGUAAUCUACAAGCCUACUAAGCAAGUAGGAAGAACUUAUGAAAACACUCCACCUUCAUCUCUAUCUUCUCUCAUUUGCAAUCCAUCAGUGAAAAGAGUUGAUGAAAUCUCAUUUUGGGGAAUCUUCAAACAAGUUUUGCACUUGUAGACUAUGAUGUGAAAAGUGGGAUCUAAAAUCCAAGCUCAGUAAGGUAGAUGCCAACCUCUUUUCUUGGGUUAGCAAGUUCUAGUGAGCAGUACAUGAGCAUUGGAUUUAUCAGAUUUCUAAAUGAGAAUCCUAAGUAAAAGGAUUCUUAUGAUGCUUCUGCUUCUACAAAUUUUAAAUAUUAAAUAAAAGUUAAGGAACUCCAAGAAUUAGUUAAAUAGCAAAUUUUUAGCUUUUUAGUAAUUUCAUGAUUUAAGAAAAAUAAUUUAAAAUUGUCAAUUUUAUUUGUCAUUAUACUAAGGAUAUAUUAUCAUUUUCAUUGUUCAGAGAAAGUUGAUGAUGAUAAUUACUUGAAACUAAAAAUCUUUGCAUCUAAUAUUAUGUGAGCAAUCAACUUACAUCACUACUCCACUUCAUAUAACACAAUAAAAAAAGAAUUUAAUUAAAUUAAAUUCUUAUAAAAUUUUUAAAAUUUAAUUAAAUUAAAUUUUUAUAAAAUUUUUGAUUUGGAUAAAAAUCAUUUGAAAUCUUUUCUUAUAAAAUGAAUCAUUUGAAAUCUUUUCUUAUAAAAUGAAUUCCGCUAAACGGAGGCUAAAUGUAUUUUAUGUUAUAAACUUAUUCAUUGCUCUAAUAUUAUUCAAUGAAAAAAAAAAUAGUUUGACUUUUUAUUAUAUUAUGACUAUUCGUCUGAAAAUUUAUUCAUUAAAAUUAUUUUAUAUUUUAAUAUUUAGAGAAAUUAAUUAAUAAAAAAUAUUUUUUUUAAUUAUAAAAAAUUUGAGCCAUUUUAGUUUGACAAAAUAUUAUGAGAAUGUAUUUAUUUAUCUCUAAAUAUUAUUGAUAGUAAUGAUUAUAAUUUAUUUGUUAUUUAUAUUUUUUUUCUAUAUAUUGAAUACUAUAUGGUAAAAAAUAACAUUCAUUAGUUUAAAUAUUUUUAUAGGAUUAUAAAUCAAAAGAAUUUUUUUAACUUUUCUGGUGGGAAUUAAAUAUUGUAAAUGAUUUUCUUUAAUUUCUCAACAUUUUCAAAAACAGUAUAUUCUAUUUUAAAAAUUUUUUAUAAUAAAUUAUUUUUCAUAAAAAAACCUUAAUAUUAUGCCCGAAAAUAAUUCUUAAUAUCACAUUUUCAUAAUGAGGAAAACUAUUAGUCUAAUUCAUGUAAAAGAAAUUAUUAGGUCAACAAAUAAUGAUUUUCUUAAUUUUCUUUAUAAAAAGAAAAAGGAAAAAUCAGAGACUAAUUCAGGACGCUCACGUCCUUGUUGGCGCGUAAAAUCCCAUUUUCGCUCUUCCCAUCGGCAGCGAUUUUUGCUUCUCUUACACUCCCUCCUGCUUCUUCCCUCCGACCCACCGCCACCACCACCUGCAUCUCAGAAUCUAUUCCCCUCUAUUCCGCCGCUAACAUCUCCUUCUUCCUCUCUCUCUCUGCCUCUCUCUGUGACCAUGGAUUUCGCAGCUCAAAGAAGUAGAUCUUAUCCCGUUCUCAUUAUCACUUGCUCAUUCUUUUUCUUAUCUUCAACAGUAAAUCUCUCCAAUGCCUCCAUCCACAUCUAUGCCAAAGAACCCUUCAAUGAAGUUGGAAAUGCUUACCUCCUUUCCGGUGGCAGCGAAGGCAUUGUCGCCUCUGAUUCUUCCGCACCAAAUGGCCGUUCUUAUAUCAGGUAACUGUCAAUUCCUUCUGAAUCGUCAGAAAAUGUGGGAUUUGAAGGAAAUGUUGCGGGGCGGAUUUUUCUGUUGGAAUUCUUUUGAUUGGAUCUAAUGUUGCAUUCUAUGAUGAAAAUAUUUGUGGGUUUUGGGUUUCGAGAAGCAUUGGGUUUUGCUCGAAAUUAUAACUAACUUGAAGAUAGCAACAUGAGAUCUGAGGUUGACAAUCGAAUUUUGGUGCCAUGAAAGCUGAGGAAUCUAAAGCAUAAGGUUUUUGAAACUACUCCAUUCUAAAUAUUUUGGCCAAAUAUUAUACUAUAAUUUUUUUUAAAAAAAUGACCCUUAGCUUUCUGAUUCUAGUAAAGUUAUAUAAUGGAAGAUAAAUUUAUGUGAGUUCACAAGGCUGCUGCUUGCUAUAUAUUUUUUUCUCAAAUUGCUAUAAUUUAAUUCCCUAUUAGCUGCAAAAUCAACAGUGUAAAAUAUGAAAAUAAAGCCUAAGUAAGCGGCAUUAGUAGUGCAUGAAAAAAUUAUUGAGUUUAGCUCUCUUAAAAAUGUAAAUUUUAAGCAGUGAGUAGGAUGUGCUGGCACAGAAAGAGAGAGAGAGAGAGAGAGAUUGAUAUUACUGAUUCUCAGAUUGUUGUGUGUAUUCAUCCCUGGAUUUAAUAGUGUUUCUGAUCCUGGUAAUAUAUAAUAUGUAUUAAAGAUCAUACCAUUUCGUCCAUUUUUGUUCUUGUACUCCUGCUUGUUGAAUUUUACAUUUCUGACUUUCUGAUGAAAGUUCACUAUCGUAUAAAUGCAAUUGAAACAGGUUUAGGGAUAUCACGUUUUGGAGGACCAAGGCUGCUGCCGAUGAGCAUUCAGAAAUGGAACAUAGUACGGGAUUGGUACAGGUUGUGAUUUUUGAGACAGCUGACCGGAAUAACAUUGGUGGUUCUGCUUAUGGUGGACAAAGAUCAAUUUGUUGCACCCCUGAUCUUGCUAAGCUGGAAGGUUGCAACCAAGGUGAAAUCAUUAGGAUACCUUCAGCGACAGACACAAAAUGGCCUAUUGUUUUGAAUGUACAAUUCAGUGGUAACUACUUAUCUACAAAUAUACGAGAUGAGUAUGUUAAUAUCACGAGAACUGGAAUGUAUAACUUAUUCUUCAUCACAUGUGAUCCAAAACUGAAGGAACUAAUAAUGAGUGGUAAGACAGUUUGGAAGAAUCCUGGUGGUUAUUUGCCUGGUAGGAUGGCCCCUUUAAUGAAAUUUUAUGUGCUCAUGUCUCUUGCAUAUCUUCUGCUUAGUGUUAUUUGGUUCACCCAGUACAUGAGGUUUUGGAAGGACAUAUUGCAACUUCAGCAUUGCGUCACAGCUGUUAUUGCCCUGGGAUUGUUUGAGAUGAUUCUUUGGUAUUCAGAGUAUGCAAAUUUUAACAGCACAGGAACAAGGCCAGUUGCAAUUACAACUUGGGUUGUGACAGUUGGAGCCGUAAGGAAAACUUUUUCUCGUCUUCUUAUACUCUCAAUUUCAAUGGGUUAUGGUGUUGUGCGGCCUACACUUGGUGGUCUUACCUCAAAGGUUCUUCUACUUGGAUCUACGUAUUUUUUGGCAUCUGAGUUGCUUGAUAUUACCGAGUAUGUGGGGAGUAUUAAUGACAUAUCAGGAAGAGCAAGAUUGUUUCUAGUCCUUCCUAACGCUUUCCUGGAUGCAUUUUUGAUACUGUGGAUAUUUACAUCUCUUUCUAGGACAUUGGAGCAGCUACAGGUAUUAAGUUGUAGUGACCAUCUAUUUCUGUUUAUAAUCUUAAUGUUUUGCUAUUAUUAGUGCUUCUUAUUUUUCCUACUUUCUUACUUUUGGAUGCCAAAAUUAUACUUGUGCAGGCAAAAAGAAGUUCUGUCAAGUUGGAUAUAUAUAGGAAGUUCUCAAAUGCAUUAGCUGUGGCAGUUAUAGCUUCUGUUGCUUGGAUAACCUAUGAGGUAUGAUGUGGGAAAGAGCACAUUGGCUUCUGUUCAAAUUUAUUACAUUUACUUGUAUUCUUUGUUUACUAUUUGGGAAUCAUAAAUGAUGGAAAAAUCCAAACAGAUCCGCAUGGGUUGUCUUGCAACAUGGAUGUAAAGUAUAUUUCUAUUUUACCAGUCAAAAGAUAAUCUUUAUCUUUUCUUUUCUAGAUUUCUAGUAACGUGCUUGUAUUGGAAUUGAAAACUUCAAGCAUAAUAGUUUUGUCUGGAAAUAAAUUGAAGUAUGCAAUACAUGACUUUCCUCUUGAAUGUUGAUAAAAAGAACCCCUCAUACCUAUUAUUUGCUGAUUGAGCAUAACUUAGGACCACUUACAAUUGUUAAAGCAUCAAUGAGCUUUUACCCUUAGUUAGAUAUUGAGACAUUGAUAGCAUUCAUGCUGAAUAUCUUAUUUCUACUGAAGUUGGAAGAAGAUUCUCAAAGAUAGUUGAUAACAAAAUGCAACCUUGUUGUUUCUUUUGUUUUUCCUUGUAAACAAAAUGCAUAUAAUUUGAUCUUCAAUUAUUAUGCCUGUGACUAUGGUUUGUUUAAUUUGUUCUGAAUCUGAUUUGCUUUGUUUUAGGUUUAUUUCAAAGCAACAGAUCCAUUUAAUGAGCGGUGGCAAACUGCUUGGAUCAUUACUGCAUUUUGGGACAUUCUUGCAUUUGCCUUGCUUUGUGUCAUUUGCUAUCUCUGGGCUCCAUCACAAAGCUCUCAACGGUAUAGUAUAAGCUGGAAGUUCUUCAAUUUAAUGUUGUUCAUUAGAAAAUGAAUAUGUAUUAGCAUUUUUUUUCUGCUGAUGAGAAUUCUAUUUAGGAAAGAAAAUAUAAUAUUGAGUGUGGACAUAAACUGAACUAUGAAUGAGUUAGCUAAGAGGAAGGAGGUCUAUUACUAUGGAGAAGGUGGUUGAAAUUCUUUUGAUAUAAGUGAUUUGUAGUAUGUGCUGCAAACUUUUCAUAAAAAAUAUACUUUGAUAAUAUUUAAAAAGGAAAUAAUCUUCAUUAAUCAUAAUAGCUAAUCUCAUUUGAGCAGGGGUUGGGUUCUAAUUUUUAUUCUUUCCCUCAUCUCUGAGAGGAGAUGGCCAAUUUUCACCUAAACCAUAUCACAACAUUAUGUCCGUUUGCCACCUGUUUAUGCUGAUGUCGUCUGCCAAAUUCCACAGGUAUGCCUACUCAGAAGAAGUAGGAGAGGAAUCUGAUGAUGAAGAAGCUCAUUAUCUAACUAGGCAAAAAACAGAUGGUGACAUAAAUUUAGUUGAGAAGAAACAAAAGAAUGUUGGGACCACAGAUGGCUUUGAUCAAGAGAAUGGAACAGAAGAGGAUAAAAGAGAAUGAUUAUCUGAAGCAUAUUUUUUCAGUAAUCUCAUUCAGCAGUACUAAACAACUCCUGUCAAUUUGAGCUCAAAAAGGUGAUUACCUGUUAUUCUAGAUAUACUUCUACUAGGCCUGCAGAUGUUUAAAAUUUUGACAUAAUGCGAUUCUACUAAAUCUCCGGGUGAAAAAAAAAACUGCCAGGUUUCUUUCUUGUAUUUCUUCACAGCAUUAGUUUUGUGAUUACUGUGUAAGUAUAUCAAUGAUCAAAAUGUGAGUUGGGAAAUGGAUACUUUAAAACUUCUAGAGUAGCACAUGAAAAAUUGUCGAAAGGAAGAGUUGAUCAAUUUUAAUGCCCCAUCUAUGGCUUGUAUCAUAGUUAAUAAUACUUUUUUUUUCUUUAAAAAAAAAAAAAUCUUUUGUUUGUUCUAUUAAUGGGUUUUUUCUUAUUUGCAACAUAAUUGAGCAGCUAGUAGUUUAGUACUGUUUGUUAUUUUGGCAGUGAGCGGGCUUUUUGCAAAAUUAGGGGCGGGAAAAGUUUUAUUUGUGGAUUUGGGGUUGGCAAAUUUUUAUUUGCCAAUUUGGGAUUCGCUUGCCUCUUUUGGCGCCUCUUUGAAAUGCGCCAGGCCUUGGCGCUUCUCAAAGAAGCGCCAGAUGAAGUCUUGGCGCCUAUCAAAGAGGCGCCAAGCAUGGCCUGACGCUUCGCAGACAAGAUGGCGCCUCUUAAAGAGGCGCCAGCCUCACCCUGGCGCAUCGGGAAGCCUGGUGCCUCGGGAAAACCCAACCAUCCUGGUGCCUCUUAAAGAGGCGCCAACCAUCCUGGCGCCUCUUAAAGAGGCGCCAACCCAUCCUAGCGCCUCUUUAAGAGGCGCCACCUUCACCCUAUAAAUGCUGCGCUCGUUUUCAUCUCUGCUCGAUUUCAUCUCUGCUCGAUUUCAUCUCUGCCACGCUCGUUUUCAUAUCCUGCUUUUACUUAUUUCUUUCCUGUUGAUUUAUUUUUUAACUUCUUUAUCCUCUUCCUCUUUCUGUUUUAAUUUAUUUAUGGCUGAUAUUUAUAUUGUUCCAAAAGUUUUACGAGGUAAAUUUGCUAAAAAUAGAGUAAAAAAAUGUGGAAAAAAUAUAUAAAUUAAGAAUAGAUUUUCGGAGCAAUUUUUUUUAACAUAUUUUAUGUCUUAAUUAUUAUUUGCAAGAAAUAAUUUGUUUUGGCUAUAACAUACGGAAUAAAAAAAUGGUUGAUGUUUUGAUUGAAAUUGUUCCGUUGUAUUAUUUUAAGAUUUUAAGUUUUAUUUGCUCAAAACCCGAAAUAGAAAAUUAUUCUGAUAUAGUAAAUUAUUAUUUUUAGAUUUAUGAAAAAUUGGAUUAUGUACCUUAGAUGCGUCUCCAAUCCAGUCUUCCUAUUUUGCAAAAGGAAUUCUGUAAAAGAGAGAAUAGAAGAUUAAGAGGUACGUAUUUAGUUAAGCUUAAUAUUUAAUUUUGAUGUAUAUUUUAAUCAAUAUAUUUAUUGACUUAUUAAUUUCAGGAGGAGGUGAACAUAUCAGUUAUCAAGCGAAUAUGUAUGAUUAUUUGGAACAAAGAAGGGGAAGAACAUUUAAAUCCGCAAAACGUUCAAGUGAAGGGCGCAAAUUCGAAAAAUAUAAAAAUAAAUAGAUACAUUAAAAUCUAUGUAAUUAGUUAAUAUUUUAAAAUCUAUGUAAUUAGUUAAUAUUUUAAAAUUGUAAUAUCGUUUUUUUUAUAAAUGUCUAUUUUGUUGUGUUACAUAUAUUUAAUAUUAACAUUUUUAUUGUUAAUUUAUUAGUAAAAAUUUUAUUUAAUAAUUAUUUAAAAAUUGGGUUUAGAUUAAAAUGUAUAAAAUAUAUUAUGUAGGUAAUUGAUCUUAAAUUAUAAGAUUUAAAAUAAAAAAUAUAGUUAAUUUAAUUGUAAUUAAUUAUAAAUGCAUAAAAAAUUUAAAGUAUAUUAAAAAUUACCAUUUAAUUUACAUAUUUAAAAUAUUAAAUUUUUAAUAAAACAACGGCAUUAUAUUUGUUAUUUUGAUAAAUGUGAAAGAAAAAAAAAAGUUUGAGUAUUCUAUUCAUUUUAUAAGUUAUUUUGAAAUUUGUAUUUGAAAUAUUAUAAUUAAAAAAAAUACAACAUUAAUAAAUUAAAAAAAUAUAUAUAUUUUAAAAAUAAAAAGCAAAAAUAAAAUAUGACAUAGAGGACCUAGCGCCACUUAUAAUGGCGCCAGGGUCUCUUCAUGGCAGAGAAUCUCUGCCAUGAAGAGGCGCCACUUAUAAUGGCGUCAGGGUCUCUUCACGGCAGAGAAUCUCUGCCAUGAAGAGAAGCUUGGCGCCACUUUAAGUGGCGCCAAAGACAGGUGUACCAGUCAUGGGGUGCGCGACGCCUCGGGACUGGUAGAAGACCUGAACCUGGCGCCUCUUUGAAUGGCGCCAGGAUGGUUAAGUCCCGAGGCGUCUUCCAGACGCGCCCCGGGACUGGUGGAAGACUUGAAUCUGGCGCCUCUUUGAAUGGCGCCAGGAUGGUUAAGUCCCGAGGCGUCUUCCAGACGCACCCCGGGACUGGUGGAAGACCUGAACCUGGCGCCUCUUUGAAUGGCGCCAGGAUGGUUAAGUCUCGAGGCGUCUUCCAGUCUGGAAGAUGCCUCGGUAUUGCUGGAAGACUGCAUUCUGGCGCCACUUUAAGUGGCGCUAGGAUGCAGUCUUCGAUAAGCCUGGCGCCAUUUAAAGCGGCGCCAUGUUUCUAUUUAUAAAUACCCUGCCCCGCCCUUACUCACCUCAGUUUUCAACUCUUACUCACCUCAGUUUUCAACUCUUACUCUCCUCCACUCUACUUAACUUGAAUUACAAUUUCCAUUUCUAAUCUCAAUACACCCUCCUUUCAAUUUGAAAGAAUAUGUGAAGGUUAGUUAGAUUAUUUAAUAUAUUUAUUUAACAAUUUAUGUGGUGUAAUAUAAUUCUUAUUAUUUGAUAAUUUUUAAGAUAUAAUGUAUUUAUUUUAACGAUAUUAUAUUUUUGGUGCUAAACAUAAAAUUAAAAUUUAUAUUGCAGUUUGAUAGACAAUAUUCAAACUAAGGCUAUUAGAUCGCAUUGAUUACAACAAACAGGUAUGCGUAAUUAUAUUGCACUUAAAUUUUAACGUUAAUUAAAUAUUUAUUCUAUAUUUAUUAUGUUUGAAAUGUGGAUUAGAUUUCACAAAAAUUAGUUGUCCGACUUAUGGCAUUGUACAAUGGGAUGAUCAUGUUAUUAGAACCGAAUUAGGUUACGACUAUGUUGGUGGUUAGCACAAUUUCUUCCGUAUGAAACGAAGGUUGACUUAUGAGGAUCUUCUUUUGAAAAUAGUUCGCUGUAUAAAUUUGUCAGACCAUAAUCAAUGUAUAUGCAAGAUUAAAUAUAGAAAACCAAUUAUUAGUGAUAACAAUUACAAAUUUGAACUAGUUCAGCUGCUCAAUGAUGACGAUGUAGAGUUGAUGUUAGAUUACGUAUGUAUACUAGGAUCUGAAAGCAUAAUUUUUUAUGUCGAUGAUGUUAGAGAUAUUCACAUAAAUCAGAAAGAUGAUUGUGCUGGUCCCUCUUAUACUGAUGAUUUAGAGAAUUCACCCUGUAUUUUGCGUCCGAAUAUUGAAGAGCAAGAUGAAAUUAUAGAAUGUGCAACUAAUCCUUUUUGCACUGAAGACUUUAACCUGAAUAGUGUUGAUAAUAUUGUCAAUGAAGUUGUUGAUGAAGAUGAUGAAUAUGUUGAUUCAGAGAGGUUAUCUGAUUCUGACAUUAACGAGUAUGAAAGUGGUUGGAUUGAGGACGACGAAUUAUUAUCAGCUGAUGAUAAUGUUGUUUCUCAGUAUACUAAUCCUAUUUUGCCACUUGUGCAUCCACCCCUAUUUUCAAAAAUAGAUUUUGAAUUGAUGCGUGUAGACCCUUAUGCAAAGCCACCGACUGAAAUGUUUUGGAAUCCGAAUAAAGAGUUUUUUGUUAGGAUAAUUUUUCCGAACAGAGAUGCUGUCAUAGCUGCAGCAAAGGAGUAUCAUUUGCGUAGACAUCAUAAGUUUUGUUUUGAUGAGACCAAGACAAAAACAUAUAGUAUUAAAUGCAAAUAUAAAAAAUAUAACUGUAAAUGACAUCUGCGUGCAUCAAUGAAGGAGAGAUCUGAGGUUUGGCGAAUUGUAUCGUAUGAUGGGCCGCAUACAUAUUCUAAUCCAAUGGUUAAAAAAGACCAUCCUCAAUUGGAUAAUAAAUUUAUAUGUCAAUUUAUCUUGCCUAUGAUAGAAGAACAGUCACACAUUAAAAUAAAAACACUUCAGGCAGAAGUUAGAGAUAAAAUUGGAUAUGAACCAACAUAUUCAAAGACAUAGAAGGCAAAACAAUUUGCAAUUAGGAAAAUUUUUAGUGGAUGUGAUGAAUCGUAUGGAAGGCUCCAUAAGUACAUGAAUGCAGUGUGCCACUUCAAUCCUGGUUCAAUCUUCGUAAUUGAAGAUGAUCCCCAUUACAUAAACGAUCGUUUGGAUCGUACUUCUCGUGUAUUUGAUCGCAUGUUUUGGGCUUAUCGUCAAUCUAUUGAAGGAUUCAAGCAUUGUCGACCAGUAAUUUUUGUUGAAAGUACGUUCCUAUACGGUAAAUAUAGUGGGUGUAUAUUGUGUGCAACACGGCUUGAUGAAAAUAAUCAGAUAUUUCCAUUGGCUUUUGCAAUUGUCGAUGUAAUACCCGGCUAGAUUCCGGUAUCGGAAUCCCUACUUUCCGGCGGAAUCUCCGUUGGAAUCUGGAAUUCUGAAGAUGCCAGAGUCUUCUAGAGGGGUAAAAUAUGUUUCUAAAAUGUUUUCACAUGAUUUUAUUGUUUUAAAUGGAAAAGAAAUUGAGUUUGAAAAGAAUAGGCCACGGAGGAAGGACCCAGGUUCGGCCGCCGAACCUCAAGUUCGGCCGCCGAACAUGGAGGUGUUUCGGGAGUGCUUUAGGCUUCCAAAGGCUUUGAGGGAAGAAACCAGGUUCGGCUGCCGAACCCCAAGUUCGGCCGCCGAACGUGGUGAAGUUUAGGAGGCAAUUUUGGCCACCGAAGGAGGUUUGGCCGGCUACUUAUAAAAGGCCCUCAGACCGAAAAUGGGUGAGUUUUCUCCCCAUUCUCGAGCUCAGGUGAGUUCUUGCCUCCUUUGGUUCAUUUCAUGACUUUUCUUCAAUCUCCCAAGGUUUUUAUAAGUUUUAUGGUUGUUUUGUAGAGUUUUAAAGCUUGAAUCAAGUUUUGGGAACUUGGAGACCCAAGGAGCUAGUUUCCUCCCAUCUCCAAGUUAGGGAUCGCGUCAACCCUCGAUCUUCAAGAGGUAAGUGUAGAUCCUUGCUUCCCUUUGUGUUUAAUGAAGUUUUAAGUAAGUUUAAGGAAGUUUUAAUGCUUGAGUAUGGGUAGAUAUGCAUGUUGAGGUUUAUGUGGGUUUAUACUCAUUGUAUGUUUAUGUGAUGAUGUGUUGAAGGUUUAGGCUAGUUUAUGCUUGUGGGAGUGUGUAUGCAUGUUUGGGAGAGAGCAUGUGAGGUUUUGGGUUGUUUUGGAAGGUUUGGAGGCUGGUAAUGCAUGAGAAGGUUGAGUUCUGUCCUUCUGGAAGAACUUAGGUUCGGCCGCCGAAGGUACUUUCGGCCGUCGAACCUACUUGUGGUGGCUUGUUUUGGCUGCCGAACCCUGCCCCCGAAAGUUGGACUUUCGGCUCUAGAGGGGAGUUUCGGCCGCCGAAGGUGCCGCCGAACAUGCAUGAGUUUCGUCUCUGGAAGGGGUUUCGGCUGCCGAAAGCGCCCCCAAAAGUGCCUGACUUUCGGAUUUGGGAGAACCUUCGGCCGCCGAACUUGUCGCCGAACCUGCAUGGCUUUCGGCUCUGGAAGGCACAUUCAGCCGCCGAAAGUGCCCUGUCCAGCCCUUUCUUGGGUGUUUUCUAUGCAUGUUUUGGUGCUGUUUUAGGGGGUUUUUGGGGAGUUGUUUAUGAGUUGUUUAGAGUGUGUUUGACACCUCAUUCGAGUCCACCUGCGUAGGAUCGGACCCGAAAGACCGAGGAGGCCAGCAGAGUUAGCUGUUGCAGAGUCAGUCUAGCGUCUGCCAGAGGUGAGUAGAACUAACUCAAAUGUUUUAAGCAUGUUUCACGCAUCAUGAAUACCAUGUAUAUGUAGUAGAUUGCUUGCAUUAGAAAUCACGAAUAUGCUGCAUUGCAUAAAUUGUUGUUGAUGUGGAUGGACCAAGGCGACCCCAAUAGCCCUAGCUAUGAUAUGUUAAUGAAGUCCUGAGGAGCCCCUUGAGGGCCGGGCAUAAUGAAGUCCUGAGGAGCCCGAAGGGCCGGGCACUAUGAUAUGUUACAGACAGAGGGAGUUUUGGUGGUCAUGUCCAACCGUGAUGUGAAAUAUUUGUGCUGUGACGCAUUCCAUGAAAACAUAUGAUUUAUUACUGUUUCCCUGUUCUGCUUACUGGGCUUUUUAGCUCACCUCUUUCCCCUAACCCCCAGGUUUGCAGGUAUGAGGGCGUUCGGAAAGUCGGCAAGGGUAAUGUUAUGCUUAUGUAAUAGAUUAGUGCUUUAGUGUGGACAUGUAAUGGAAAUUGAUAUAAUGUAUUGCAAGAUAAUGUAAUAAAAUGUAACGUAAAGUAGAGUUAUGUUUAUGGAUGAGUACUGUGCUUGGCCCUAAGACUUGGUUAGUCCCUUUUUAGUACAUGAUGUAUGUAAUGUUUUAAUGUUGAGUUGAGUUUGAACCAAACUUGUGGCAUGUGAUGUUUACCACGCUAGAGUAUUUGAUGAGGACUCUAGUGGAGGUCUUAUGUUUAUGGUUUGGAUGCAUGCACAGGUUAGGUUUUGGUUCAUCGGAUGUGAGUCCAGCUUGAUGUAUGUUAUGUUGACCCAGCUAGAGCUUUUGUUGAGGGCUCUAGUAGGGGGUUUCUUUAUGUUUUCAGUUAUGUGGCAUACAGGUCAAGCUCAAUAUAUACAUCGGAUGUUUAAGUUUUUAUGUUAAUGUUUUGAUCAUGUAUGGGAUUUGACCAAGUGACAGGAUGCAUGUUAGGCUUGCUACGGGUCCCGGCGGCCUUAAGCCGAUCUGGAUCCUAGCGCCGGUAGCGGUCCGGUUUCCGGGUCGUUACAGUCGAGAAGGAGGAUUCAGAUAAUUGGGAUGGUUCAUGUCUUGUUUGAGAGCUUAUGUCACAGAACGCGAAGAUUUAUGUGUCAUUUCUGAUUGUCACAUUGGAAUUAAGAAAUCUAUGGAACAAGAUUGGUGGCAACCACCAAGUGGACACCAUCGAUACUGCAUACAGCACAUUUUGAGCAAUUACAACACAAAAUUCAAGAAUACAACAGUGAAGGAAUAUUUGCGAAAGGCUGGUAAAACUUCAUUUGCGAGUACUUAUUUUAAAUUUAAAUUUUUAUUGUAUAUAACCUAUUCAUAUUCAAUAAUAUAUUUUUACCGUAACAGCUAAUCAUAACCAAAAGAGGAAAUUCUAUGACACGAUGAAUAAAAUUAAGGAAGUAAAUCUCGAGACCUUUGAAUGGGCUGUGAAGAUUCCUUUGGAGAAGUGGACUCGUUCCCAUGAUGGUGGGAAGCGAUAUGGAUCAAUGACGACUAAUACCAUUGAGUCUGUCAAUGGAAUGUUGAAAGGCUUUCGAGCUUUACCUAUUACAGCAAUGGUUGAAAAAAUAUUUUAUCAAUGUGCGUAUUACUUCGAUACUAGAAGGAGUCAAUUUCUUCGGUAGCAACAAGAUGGCUAUAGAUUCACCCAGUCAACUGGUUAAAUCGUACAAAAAAUACACAGUCAGCAAAUGGCCAUCGUGUUACUACAUUUAAUCGUGAUGAUUUGGUUGUUGAAGUCCGAAGUGCAAAAUCAGGUCAAAAACAAGUUGUUAAGCUUAUAGAAGGGACCUGUACUUGCGGUAAAUUUCAAGAGAUGCGUAUCCCAUGUUCACAUGCCAUAGCAGCAUGCAUGUCGAGGUCUGUGGAUUAUGAGCAAUUCGUUGAUAGCUACUACACUCUCGAAAGGUCAAUUAAAUGUUACGAAGACAUGUUCAUUCCAUUAGGUAAUUCAGACUAUUGGCCUGCAGAUUAUGAAUUACCACUAAUUCCAAACAAGAACCGAAUUAGGAAAAAAGGACGACCAAAGUCAUCGAGGAUCCAGAAUGAAAUGGAUUGGAGGGUUGCAAAAGUUAAUAUUCCUGGAAAAAAUCACUGUUCUAUAUGUGGCCAAUCGGGACAUAAUAAAAAGACAUGUACUAUGAAUAAAAACUUAUGAUUUUCACAUGGCCUAUUUUCUGCAAAUAUCUGUAAUUUGUUAUGAUUCCUUGAUUAUUUAUGACAUUUAACCAUUUGAUCAUACACAUGUUAUAUCCAGAAAAUGUCAUCCUCCAAAGAUCUUCGUGAGUCAUCAGCAUGCCAAUCAAGCAAAGAAAAGAGAAAAUAUAAUAGUCAUAACACUCUAAUAGACAAAUAUAUUGAUCCAAACAGUUGUUCAUGGUAUGGUCACAAGCGAUGUUUUUCAAAUCAUCCAAUUAAUGCUUGUUUGGAAUAAGGUUUUGCUAACCAUAUAUUUGUUGGAUAUCAUUCCAAAAAAAUUUCUGAUUUCAGAAAUGCGACAAUUGCUACUCAACCUGAUUGGCAAUGUUUGUGGGAGAUUCAAUCCGAAUUGGAAGCUUAUUGUGGUUACCAUGAGUUGCCUAUUCCAAAAGCUACAUCGGCAGACAUGACUCGCAAUACAUGUAAAGAAGUUAAGAAACUGAAGGAUCAACUACUUAAGGAAAUUAGGCUUAUGGAAAUGAGGCUAGAUAAAUAUCAUGCUGAACAAAGUGAAUUUCCAAGUGUAUACGACGAUAGUCAAUUAUCAUGUUCCAGCAAUUUCAACGUACACAAUAAUGACCUGUCUGAUUAUAGUGACAAUGAUUGUGACGAUUUUAUAAAAUAUUUGCCACAUUGUCUACCGAAAUGCUGUUGAAAUGUCUAGAUGCAUUUAUCGUGUUAUGUAAUAUGUUAACAUAUUGACAAUCGAGUUUAGGGUUUAGGAUAUCUAUUUUUGAGUUUAGGGUUUAGGGUUUAUAGUUGAUGGAACUAAUGUCUUCAUCACUUGUAUCAAAAUAAAGAAUUGCCUUGUAAAUUCACAUUAUUCUUUUAUUUCUGUUAUGUUAUCCUCAUGUCUAGCAAUUAAAAUUAUUGACAUAAGGAAUUGAUAGUUGUAAUAACCCUUUGCAGGAAUGGAGGGCUCAAAUGACAGUAGAUUAUUCAUCAACCCAGGACCACGUGAUACUUAAUUGCUAUAUCUCCAAGCAUCUCAUAGGUCCCAAGUCGUGUGGGAUGAUCCACAAGAGGCUGGUGUAAUCACAUGUCGAAGAUCCUUUACCGUAUUACACGUUCAUGAUAUUGAUGAUAGGCUUAUCCCUUAUUUCCGUGCUAGUGGAUUUUACGGAGCUGUUAGAUUAGACUUCUUCCACUUAGAUCACCACCUCAUAACGGCUUUGGUUGAGAGAUGGAGACAUGAAACACAUACUUUUAUGUUACCCUAUGGAGAGUGUACUGUUACACUUCAAGAUAUGUGACUGAUAUCUCGAUUGCCUAUUGAUGGCAAUACUGUUACUGGGACUACAGGACAACCUUGGCAAUUACUAUGUCAAGAUUUGCUUAGGUUGGUCCCGAAUCAUGAAGUUAUGAAGGGAAAUACCGUUGCACUCACCUGGUUGAGAGAUAACUUUGACCAAAUUCAAGAGUACGCUGAUGAUAUUACUAUUCAGAGGCAUGCUUGGGCUUUCCUAUUACGACUAAUAAGUGGAUCACUAUUCGUUGAUCGGUCUGCUCAUAGGGUCAAUCUAAUAUUUUUGCCACUAUCGCUAAUUUCAACACCUGUGGUCAAUAUAGCUGGGGUGCAGCCUGCCUUGCUUGGCUUUAUAAAGAGCUUUGCAGAGCAACAUCACCUCAAGUGCAGCAAGUUGGCGGGCCACUGCAUAUUUUACAAAUUUGGGCAUGGGAUAGAAUAAAAACAAUUGCCCCUACCAUCUCCCAGAUACAUCCCCUUCCAGAUACACCGAUUGGCAGUCGAUAUGUGCUGUAAAUUGUGUACUACUAUACCAUCAAAUCCAACAUCUUGUUACUAAUUCCAAACUAUAAAUUGUGUAGGUGGAGUAAUGCUAGAAGUAUUACCGAAGUUACAAUGCAUGUGCUAGUGCAACUUCGGUACCAACUUGACCGUAUGGAAGCCGAAGAGGUCAUCAUUCUAUACCUUUAAAUUAUAUGUCAAUUCAAAUGAUACAAUUUUAACAUUUUACAUUAUUUUAUCUACACAGUUUAUAUGGGAGCCAUACUCUGAUGUUGUGGUGGACGCUAUGCCAGAUUACUGUCUACAGGGUAGACAAAUAUGGAGAUCGGUUGUUCCACUGAUUUGUUUUUAUAUUGUUGAGUGGCAUCAACCUGACAGGGUGCUGAGACAGUUUGGAUUUUCUCAACCCAUUCCACAACCACCACGUCAAACAGAUGAUAUGCAUUCAAUAAAGGAAAAAUUACUUUUUAGUCCCUGAAGUUUAACGUAAUUAACACUUCUGUCCCUCUAUUUUGGCGACCCAACACUUAAGUCCCUCACUUUCUCUUCCGUCCGAAUUCGUAGUCCUUCCGUCCAAAAUUGUAAUACCCGGCUAGACUCCGGUAUCGGAAUUCCUACCGUCCGGUGGAAUCUCGGAUGUCGGAAACCUCUAGAAGGGGAAAACCAUGUUUUAUGAAAUGUUUUUAAGGUAUUUUAUGUUUUAAGUAAAAAGGAAAAUGAAUUUUGAAUGAAAAAGGCCUAAGGAGGCUUUACCAGGUUCGGCCGCCGAAAGUUAAGUUCGGCCGCCGAACAUGGAUGGGUUUUGGGAGCGCCUUUGGCCCCCGAAAGCCUUGUUUGAAAGACUUAAGGUUCGGCCGCCGAACCUCAUGUUCGGCCGCCGAACAUGCAUGAGAUGUGGGGGCACGUUAGGCCGCCGAAAGGUGGCAGAACCAGCCCUAUAAAAGGCCCCGUGACCGAAACAGGCGAGGUUUCCUCUCCCAUUUCGGCCGACGGUGAGCUCUAGCUCUCCUUUGGUCAUUUUAAGUGUUUUCCCUCAAAUCUUUCAGAUUUUUAACAAGUUACAUCUUGUUUUUGAAGAGUUUUGAAGUUAGAGUAAGAUUGGAAGCUUGGAGACCAAAGAGCGGAUUUCUCCCUACCUCCAAGCUAGGAUCGUUUUUCCCUCUCGAUCUUCAAGAGGUAAGCUUAGAUCCAACCUCUCUUGCAUGUUUUAAGAAAGUUUUAAGUAGACCUAUGGGGUAGAAAUGCAUGAGUAGGCUUAUUGAAGUUUCUUUUAUGUUUAUGGGUUCAAUGUGCAUGUUCUUGAGCAAUGUGCCUUGUUUGAGUGUUGUAGUUGGGGUUUAAGUUAGUUUGAGACCCUUAGGAGCUUGUAUGCUUGAGUAUGCAUGUUGUAGAAUAGGUCUUUGCAUGAUUGGUUGUGUAGGGGGUUGGAAUGAGCAAGAAGAACCAAGUUUUUGCCCUUUGGCAGAAACCAGGUUCGGCAGCCGAAGGGACUUUCGGCCGCCGAACCAGCUUGGGAGGCAGCUUUAGGCUGCCGAAGCCUGCCCCCGAAAGUUGGAGUUUCGGCUCUGUCCGAGACUUUCGGCCGCCGAAGGUGCCGCCGAACAUGCAUGAGUUUCGUCUCUGUCUGGGAGUUUCGGCCGCCGAAGGUGCCGCCGAACCUGCCUGACUUUCGGAUCUGUCUGGACUUUCGGCCGCCGAAGGUGCCGCCGAAAGUGCCCUGUCCAGACUUUUCUUGCAUGUUUUUACGUGAUGUUUUCAGGAUGUUUUAGGGGGUUUUUGGGGAGUAUAGUAGAGUUAUGUUUAUGUAUGUUUGGUCCCUCACUGGAGUCCACCUGUGUAGGAUUGGACCCGAGGAACCAAGGUGUUUAGCAGUGUCAACCAUUUCAGAAUCGGUGCAGAGUUAGUCUCAGGUGAGUGGAACUAAACCUAAUGUUUUAAACUAAGAAAUUAAAUGUUUUUAGAGCAUGAUCCAUGCAUCAUAAAUGCCAUGAUAUAUGUAUUAGGUUGUUUUGCAUUAGAACUCACGAAUAUGAUGCAUUGCAUAAUAUGUUGUUGAUGUGGAUGGAUGUUGGAUGAUCCUUAGCCCUCAGUAUGAGAUGAGAUAAUAUGAUAUGAUAUGCCAUGGUAUGAUAUGAGACAGAAAGACCAGGUCGCCCCUGGUACUAUGUUAUGUAAGCGAACACUAGGUGAGGCCUAAUCGCCCCUGGUGUAGUUGGACUUGUUAUGAUAUGAGUUAUGUAAGCGAAUACUAGGUGUGGCCUCAUCGCCCCUGGUAUAGUUGGACGUACUACAGUAUGUAGAGGGCUAUAGGUGACAAAUUCAUCCUUGAUGUGAUAUGUUUGUG